GCGUCGGCGGGGCCCGCGCUGGCGCUCGUGGACGAGCGCAUGUCCACGGAGGGCACCGGGCUGAGCCUCGGGCUCAGCAACAACCUGCUGGGGUGGAUCCUCCUGGGGGUCUUCGGCCUCAUCUGGUCCCUCUACACCAUCUACACCUCUGACCUCGACGAGGACGAGGAGUCCGGUGGCCUCUCGCUCUAGAUCCACCCUCUCCUGUUAAUGAUCUGAAUGUAAACAUGGUGGCGGUCAUCGGUGUAAAUUUAGACAUGGCUAUUUGCAUCUAAGAUCCAUCCUCUCCUGUUAAUAAUGUUUGGAGACUACGUACGCCUGAAGCAAUGCAAUAGCAACUUUGCGAGAAAACUUGCUGCACACAUUUUUUCUUAGCUUUGAGGCUUUGAGUAGAGUUGUGUGUGAGGCCAGUUCUCCCACUGCUAUCCGUUGCUGCUCCAAAGUCCAGCCCAACGCAGCCCUGCAAAUCCCGCACCUGGCAACACUGCACCAUCGCUAGGUUCCGGCCAGUGGCAGUGGACACCACCAACGACAUUCGUCAUUACCACGUCUCCUGUUGGCUUGCAACUGAGUGAGAGAUUAAAAUAUAAUAGAACUUGAUUGGUCUUGGACGCUAGAUUCUACUGCAGAUUCACCAUGAUGCUCACGACUUUCAGAAGUCUGCUCUACAAAGUUGUCCUCUUCAUCGGAGUAUGAUAUCCCAAGUUUCUGUGCAUGAGUCAAUCCUGGACAGACUCCCUAUCAAAAAGGAUAUGUUAAGGUUCGAGAAAACAAAAAUUAACAUAAUUUAAUAGUAUGCACAAUCUGAAUUUUGUGCAUUAAUGUAGUUUCAGGGUGUGUUUGUUUCUCUACUAGAUUAUAUAAGUUAGAUUUCGGUGAAAAAGUAAAAGAGUAAAAUAUCACUUUACAACCACAAAUAAACUGAAAUAAGUUAGCAUUGGUUAGCUUAUUUUAGUUUGAUUAACUUAUUUUAGCUUAUUUGUGGUUCCAAAGUGACCCUCCUAUGUUUUCAUCAUAAUCCAACUUAUAUAAUAUAGAAGGGAAACAAACAAGACCUUAAUCUAUUAGAUGAAGAUGCAAAAACAAAGAAGAUUCUCUCAGCAAGACUAGCAUUCAAUCAAAAAGAAUAAAACCAGGAAAAUAAGAUGCUCUUGCUCAUUCAACAAAAUAACAAGACCUUAAGCUAGAAAACUAGCUUCAGAUACCAUAUACACCACACUGAAACAGAAAGCAAACUACUACACCCUCCUUUCUGUAUAUUCAUUGCUUUCUAACUCCAAUUAAUUGUUAACUGCAACCUGUUGGAUGCCAUAUGCACCAUUCUGUCCCAUGGAUCACAUCAAUACUGUUUAAAACAGCUUAGACUUUACACGAUGUAAUCCACUGUUGUUCCGUUUUCUGUCAACAAAAGUUACGCAUGCAGUGACGAAGAAAGAAAAAAAUGUUAACCAGGAACCACAUCAGAGUUACCUUGAUGUAACCUCCUGUCAUAAACAACACUUCGGACGUUGAAUAGUAAUUGGAAGGGGUUUGAAUAUCAUCUAAGAUGUUGUUUGGUUCGGUGGUGGUAACGGUAACGUCAAAGAAACUGGUAGACGGCGGGACGUGUUGCAUUGUAACACAAAGCAGACUUUGUUUGGUUCAUUGACAUAUGUAGCCUACAAGAUUGGAUAGCGCUUCCGGGGGAGUGGUAACGAGAUCCUACAGAGUCAUAUCCACUCUCAUCGUGAUGGAUUACAGGCUGCCUCAACCAAACAAAAAGCAAUGGCAUCAGAUAGUGGUGAGAACAAUUACGGGCCUAAAAACUGCGAACCAAACAGCACCUAAUUUGCUAUAGUUUCCAUUUUGAUGUUUCCUAGAACUAGCAUUAGCACCAUAUCCAUAGUCGGCGCCGCUAUUACAGAAUGCUCCAAAAUUUAAACAAUGUUCAUCUACCAAGGCUAUCUCAGGAGUAACAGGUAGCAAAUGACCCUCUGUACUAAAUAUGUACCUGCAGAAACGAUGAUAUACUGUAACUAUGAAUUCUAAGUCUGAAUAAACACCUGAACUAGUGAACUUACUGCAUUAUGGUGUCAUACUUACUUAUAUGGUCCAUUUUCAACAAUAUUAUCAGGGGCUCAGGGCCAACAGCUAAAUCAAAAAGAAGCCAGGGAUAUUUGACCUGAUAUGUGUUAGUAGUUAGAUUUCAGCAAUAGAGGAUAAAUGAAGGAAAACGGCAUGUAUUUACGCCCUCUCUCCCAAAAAAAGUGCACUUCUAGUUUGUGUCUAAGUCAUUUUUUCUUAAGUUUGACUAAAUUUUCAUAAAAUAGUAUCAACAUUUAUCCCUAAAAUAGGUUUACUGUAAAAAUAUAUUCCGUGAUUAAUCUAAUGGUAUUUAUUGGGUAUCAUAAAUGUUAGUUCCUUUUUCAUAUAUUUGGUCAAACAUGAAACAAACGAGAAGUCUACUCUUUUUGGGAUAGAGUGAGUUAAUUAAAAAAAAACUCGACCUGCGGGUAAGACCACCCCCGUUGCAUUAUUAUUAAGAAAGCACUCUCACACAGAUCGAGAAAACUCUUGUCGCACCCAUACACAGCGGUAUCGUAGCCCAUGUGACAACUACCGCGACCAGGACCAUACCUUAGACCUGUACUUUAGGCGUGGGACAGAGACAGACGAAGGUAUUUUUUUUAAACCCUGUCUGAAAUUCGGUCCCACGAGAAGUCGAACUCAAGACCUAAGGAAUGCUAUUCAGAGUCAGACCACCUAAUCUACUCAGCUAGAGAAUCUUUCGCGAAGUGAGUAAAUUUAGCAUCUUAAUUAGCAGGGAAUUGCUGGCUUGCUAAUAUGUCCCUUCCAAUAUCAAGGUAUCUGCAUUCAUAUAAAGACAAAACAUUAAAGUCAGGGCCAUAGUUAUUAACGUGAUAAGGCGAGCGACCCCUUUUUAACUUUUAAGCGGAAAGGCGUAGGGCGAGACGACCCUCUCAUUUUCUUCUCGAUUAACUUAAAAUUUCCUCUUUUUUCUUUGUAAUUUCUUGCUAUGUUUGCUCCCCUUGUUGAUUUCUGUUACAUUGGGGCCCAGUUGGGUGAUGUGUAUGUGCUUUUCACACUCAAGAGGGUCACAAUAUACUAGGGAUAUUCCUAAAACAUCCGACUUAUAUGACAAAUAUAAUAUUUUAACAUAAACAUGCAUAAAAUUUGAAAUUAUUUUUUAUUCAUGUAUGUGCUUUUCACAUUCAUGUUUGUUAGAUACCCAUGGAGCCCUCCCCCCACUCCCCUGUGACCACAGGCAUCGGCGUCCCUGCCACCGCUGCCACCGUCACGGCUGGCCAUGCCGCAGUCGCUGUUGCUGCCACCCCCACUGCCAGCACAGGCGUGGGCCCUAGCCGCUCCCUCUCCCUCACUUGCGCUGUCGUUGCCGUCGACUCAUCCCCUCAUUAGGAUCGUAACGUUAGCACGAGCUAUAUGUUAGUAUAUAGAAAAUAUACAGGUUUACCUAGAAUUUUUAUGGGUUUCAACAUUUUUACACCAUUUGUAGGAGCUUACCCUAAAACUCAAAUAUAAAACUGUAUUAGAGACUACAAUGUUUACUGAGUGGAGUUUGAAAUAGAAGUUAAAGUUGUCCGCAACAGAUCAUGUAAAAAUAGGGGAUUUGAACUAUAGAUUACAAUGUUUACAAAGUGAAGUUUGAAAUAGUGGAUGAGAUAAGCCUACGAUAGGAGGCGCGAUAGGCAAUCCACUCGAGAUGGCUUAACACUAUAAGAAAAAAAUAAUUUUAGAACUAUAGGCUACGAUAAAAAACUUGACCUAUGGGGGUAAGAUAGCCACCGAGUAUUGUAUUAAGAAGAAGACAUUCUCACACAGGUCGAGAAAACCGCCGAACCCCUGUCCCACCCAUACAUAGCGGCAUCGAAGCCCAUGUGAGAACGACCGCGACCGGGGCUGCUUUGACGUGGGACAGACGAGGGGAUCUUUUUAACCACAGUCUGAAAUUCGCUCCCACAAGUCAAAUACAGGAUCUGAGGAGUGCUACUCAGACCACAUAACCAAUUCAGCUAGAGGCCCUUUCGCAUAGGCUACAAUAACAUAUCCAAAUAAAAUAAAACAUGCUUGCUUUUAAACAACUAAUUGAAAAGUUACAAAAUUUUUGGAGUUCCACAAGUCUUCCAUUUUUUGAAAACUUUCCCAAAGUAUAGGAAAUUGCCGAAUUUCAUAGUUGUAUAUACUCGAGAAUACUACUCUGACUUUACUCCUGUUUGUUAAAGUCUGUAUAUAUGUUUUUUAACGAACAAACAAUUUAUCUUUAUUCUGUUAACAGAACUUAAGUGUGUUAACUCAGUCCAAAAAAGACAUUCAUAACCUUGCACUAUUAUCCCUUUUUAUUAAUUGUUUGCAAAUUAGCUCCACUUUGAUAUGAAAGUUCGGAAUGUAAUUAUAACAUAAAUCCGAUCAUAAAUUUUGAAAAUCAAAACUUCAACUUUAAAUCUAAAAUAUUUGACAUUGAAUUUUGAUGAAAAAUAACACCGCUUUAAUUUUUUUUUGAAAAAUAUAUUGUAAUUAAAUUAUUUUUAAAACUAUAAUUAUAAUAUUGUCAUUUUUUUUUCAAAAUUUCAUAUCAAAUUUAGUUUAUUUUCAUCAAUUAUGAAAUAUUUCUAAAUUCAAUAUUGAUUUCCAUAAUAUAUGUUCAGAUUUAUAGAUUCAUAUAUCACAGUUAGGGCUAGUUUGGGAACCAUAAUUUCCCAAGGGAUUUCUAUUUUCUCAAGGAAAAUUAUUUCAUUUUCUCUUGGGAAAUUGGGGUUCCCAAACUAGCCCUUACAUAUCAAACUUUCAUAUUAAAGCGAGGGCAGAUUUAAAACAGUUGAUAAAAGGAGAGAUAAUGAUGCAAGGGUAUAAAUGUCUUUUUGCCGGUUAAGUUAACGCAGUUAAAUGUUGGUAAUGAGAUAGAGACAAAGUGAUUGUUCGUUUCAAAAAAAGAAGGGUCAUACAUAUAAACUUUUAAAAACAAGAGUAAAAACGUAGUAGUAGCAUCGGGGCAACUAUACAACAACCCCAUUAUAUAAGGAAACAUAACUAGUGCAAUGAUCCUUUGGUGCACAUAUUAAAUCAUGACUGUUUAUCUUAGAUCUAACAUCUAUUGUUGUCAUAUAUAUUUUCUAAAGAACACUUCAAAAAGGUGAAAGUGGUAGAGGGUGUCCUUUGCAAAAUAUCUAAGAUAGCAAGGGACGUUAAAUUUUAGACAGGAUAUCAUAAUUUAAUAUGUGCACCAAAGUGCAAUAUACACCACAUAUGCUCCCUUCAUUAUAUAAUGGUGCCCUAAUAGUGGUCCUAUUACAGAAAUAAAACCUAAUGUCCUUUGCUGUCUUGGAUAUUUUGAAAAAAAACACCCUUCAUCACUACCAUCCACUAUUUCUACCUGUUCGGAGAGUGCACUUCGCAAAAUUACAACAAGGGACGUUAUACAUGAGAUAUACUGUCAUGAUUUAUUAUGUGUAUCAAAAUAUCAUGUGUGUCAGAUAUGUUCCCAUACUGAAAUGCUAUAUAUUGGGUGUAAUAUACAAGGUGUAUUUAUCUAGAUAACUGUUUACAUCACUGGCUAUGUAUUUGACUGUUUGCUGAUAUGAACCUGGGCCAUUCAAUCUUAUUAUUUCAAUCACAUGCACCAGAGUAAAUUUACAGAUACCCAAUCAAGAACAAACUGUGAUAUCUUUAAAUUUAUAUCUUGGGGAACUGCAAUACAUCAUUCACUAUACCAACUCAAUCAUCAAGCAUGUGGGCCAAAACAAUCAAUCAAACACUGAAGAAUAAAACAACUCACACAUGGAGCCAUACAUCAGUUCGUAGCAGUGGUACAACACAUGCAACUGGUAAAAAGAGAGGAUCUUGCCUUCUGCUUUUCUUUGCUUCUUGGUGAACUAACCAUGGUAUUACUCUUCGAGUUCGAUUCUGGUUCCUUCAAUGGAGACCAUAUACCAGCUUCGCUCUGCAUCAGCAAGCUCUCAAAUGGUUUCUUAAAUCUUGCAGAAUGAUUUGCUAUUCUGAAGUCUCCUCCUGUUGGUUCCCUGGGGCUUAACAGUGGGCUCCUCUCAGAUUCUUCAUCAGCCUCAAUUUUAAAUUGCAUUACAGCAAUGUCGGCUGUGGGGAUUUCCAUGUGUACAUGGCUAUGCUGCUCAAUACAAUUGGAAAAACCUAUAUUUUGCGCUCCCUGAAGUAAUGGAGUCACUUCACUGGCUUCUCUCCCUGGAGUUGAUGUCUGAUGAGUAUGUUGUUCCUCAGUAGCCGUACCAAAACAUGUUGUGACUUUCACCUGAUUGCAUUGAGCAGUAAAGGCUGCAGCUGAAAUGCCUUCUGUGACUUCCUUUUGGUAGUGGUUGGCUUCAAAGGUAAAAUCUGAAGAUGUAGUGUUUGUAUCUACUUUCUCAUGGUUGAUACCAUCAGUAGAGAUUAUGACUACAUUAGAGCUAUCUUCCACCAACUGCAUACACUUUCUAAGAAUCUCGCCAUUCUCAAGUUUCAAAACCUCGUAUUUUUCAAGCAGUAUCAGUUGAGAUUGGUCAACUUGCGAGUUUGUAAUAGUUUCUUGCUUAUCUCUGGUUCUAUAUACCUUCCUGUCAAUAUCUUCUAGUGAUUGAAGAGGAAUUAAUGGUAUGGCCUUUGGUAAAUUGGAUAAGUCUCCUCCCUCCUUUGUCACUACAUGUGCAUCAAAAUGGAGGCCUAGACCUUCUACAUUAUUUACCUUAUCUUCUUCUAAAAUUUCCUUUACUGUCUCUUUAUCAAACUCUACUAUUCCGGAUACUCCACUGACUUUUCUUUGUAUCUCUUCAUUCCCAAUAUAAUGAUGAUCUGACAAAGAUGAUUGUAAGCCUGUAAAAUCCUUUCCAUUGACCUCAGUAAUACUGACUAAGUUACCAUAAUGUUCUUCAGGUUUGUUCUCUGUUGCAAAAUUAUCUUCUAGAUUCCAAGCCGUGAUAUUUUUCUCAGCUAUUCCUUCUUCCUUGUAUAUUGUUCCUAUGCCAUUAUGCUUCAUUGUUGUAGUAACAGAAACUGAACUCUGUCGUCUUGAACCAACUACCCUUUCAUUUUGUUCAUUUUCCAGUUCUGGAUCAUUCAUCGAAGUUGGAUUUUUUAGAUAUGGUUGACACUUUGCAACAACUUCAUCAUUAUAGAGAUUACCACAUAAUGUACUUACUGCAUUAUCUUCAUCCUGAUUUCCUAAUGCAAGGAUAUUAUUAUCAUCCUCAAAUGCCUCAUCACUUUCAGUCAUUAUAUUUACUGUUGCAAUUUUGCUUAUUGCUCUGUUUUCUUCCUGGUCAUGUGGUAUUUGUAUUUGCAUGUUGUCAUUCUUGGAUAUCUCUAGGUUUGUGCCAUCUGAUGGUUGCACAUCUGGUAGACUCUCUUUUUGUACAGGCUUAUCUUCUAUAACCACUUCCUUGAUCUCAGAGUCAUCAGCAUCAAGAUAAGUGCUGACAAUUGAUUCAGUUGAUGAUGUAGUUUCUCCUUGCAUUACCACCAAAAUUUCCUCUACUGUUGCCACCUCAAUGUAUCCUUGUUCUGUGUUCUCAGUUGUAUUUUCACCAGCUAGACUACCACCCAUGGGGGAAUUGUCAUGACUGCUAGAUUCUUCCAGUUCUUCUAGUGAACCUUCUAUUUUUUCUUGUAACAAUGAUUUGUAGUUGCCUUGGAUAGUUUCUUCACUUGUUUCUGUAGUCCCAUGCAUAAGUGGUACAAUUUCUUCGUUAUAGAUUGAGCUAUCCUUGUAGCUUGUCACAUCUUCAGUGGUACUGACAAGAGCAAUUGUUUCGGAAGAAAAUAUGGCUGUUUCAGUUGCUUCUUUCCUCAAUGGUUCAUCAUCUGUACCAGAAUGCUUGUUUUUGUCAGUAGAAUUCAGAGCUGCAGGGGAACUAAAAGAAGUAGGUGCUUAGAUUCUAAAGUUUAUUCGUUAAAAAUAGUUGUUUGUUGAAGAUGCAUAUUAAGGUAGAUAGUGCCUAUAUUUGUAUUAUUAAUCUCUAUCUAGCUUGUUUUCAUUCUUUUAGGGCUUCAUUGGUUAUUUUGAAUCCAUAUGAAUUGGAGGGUAUUGGUAUGAAUUGAGAGAGAUUUUGACUUUACUAGGGAUUUAAACCCACUCAAUCCCCUUUAAUCCAUAUGGAUUAGGGUUCAAACGAACAUAUGCCCUUAAGGGCUUGUUCGGUUCUACUCCAAUCCAUAUGGAUUGAGGGGGUUCCAAUCCCUAGUAAGUCAAAAUCUCUCCUAAUCCGUAUCAAUCCUCUCCGAUCUAUAUGGAUUGAAAAUAACCGAACAAGCCCUAAGGGGACUAUAUUUCAUUCUUACCACUGACCUUAUGAAAUUUCCAUGCGCCAUCACUAAUUAAGGGACGGAAAGAACUUUUCUGAACUAAAGGAAAUGAUGACAUGGUACCAAGUUAACUAUAAGCUGAGUGGGAGAACUGAACUAACCUUUUUGUAAGUUACUAGUCUGAUCAUCUCGUGUUGAUGUGUUAUACUGAAUUGAGCUCCUGCUUUUCUCAUCUAAGCCUUCAACCUUAUCUGGUGAUUUUUUUUGAUAUGAAGCCAUCUGCUUAUCUUCAGCAUUGGUAAUGACGGGUUCCUUUGAGGAUUUUGACCAGUUGACAUACUCAGCGCCAUCCUUCUCAGUGUCUAGCAUAAACAGGCCGAUUAGUGGUGAUUCAUUGUACUGAAUUUCUGUGUAAAAUUAGUACCACUAUCCGUACUUGUCUCACCGUUUGUGCCGUUGGGCCCAGGUGAACUAUUUGAAGGCUCAACGAUUUUGUCAGCUCCAUUAGUGGUCUCUUCUGAUACUAGAAUUUCCAAAGGAAGAUAACCAGUGAAACACAGAAACCACAUUGCUAGGCAGCAGAUUGUAUUCAGCAAAAUGCAUACCUUGUUGUCCAGUGACGUUGUUAUUUCCCAUGAUCUCUUUACCCACCACACUUCGCAGCUCAGGUUCAGAAACACUGAGAGCAAUCACAACAACAUAUUAGUUAGCUCAAGCCCUAUCAGAUAUGAUCGUAUGGAAGACAAGGGAACAUGCAAGCGAGCACCACAGACCAUGAUGGGAUUGAUGGUAGAAACUGUAGGAAGAUGAACUAUUGUAUUGCAUAGAGAAUGGGUACAAUAUAUAGACUCAACCCUAACCCUAAUGGGCCGGCAGCCCAACAGUGGUGCCGGCCCACACACACUCACACACACAUAGUCUAACAUCCCCCCGCAGUCGCAACGGGGGCACCACACACGAUGAGACUGGAGUAGAGGCCGAAGGUAGGAGCCGACGGGUUGAAAUCCCCCCGCAGUCGCAGCGUCGUGAUGGUGCGAAUGUUGCGGCUGGAGUAGAGAACGGUGUGUGCUCCAAGAAGACGAUAGCCCCUAGAUGCCGAGGUAGCCGAAGUCGAGGUGGUCGCGGUCGGAAGACGCGCAGCAAAAGUCUGAUCUUCGGGAGGGGUCGACGUUCGAGCGUCAACGAUCGGCAGGGCGACACAGCAAAAGGGCACCGACAGGCCGACCUUCCUGCUUCUUCGAUCGACCAGACGUCAAGGAGCCCCGCCAGAGAGGCCGACAGCAGCACACGCGGCUGCGCUGGUCAAGGUGUCCGCGCCCGCGGCAGAAAAGAAGGGGAAUGUCGGAUCCGGCCGGGAAGGCCACGACAGCGACGGAUCCGGACGGGGAGACGCGAUCCAGCCAAAGGGACGGCAGAUCGAGCUGAGAAGGACGCAGCAACGUGGAUCCGGCCGGGAAGGCCGCGGCAGCGACGGAUCCAAACGAAGGCGAGGAAGGGGAGGGCGACGGGGCGGUUCCAACCAGGCAGGGCCUGCGCCAGACCUGGCUAGGGACGAUGACGGCGCCGGCGCCGGGAGAAGCUUGAAGGGUGAGGCGCUGCUGGGCAUCAACGCGAGCAGUUAGGAGGAGGCCACGCGAUGAGAGGCGUCACGGGCGAGGGUGCCGGCGGAGGACGCAGUGGAGAGGGAGCAGGCGGUGGUGGGCAGAGGGGAGGGGCGGCCACGACGCCGGGCUGCAGGAAAGGGGCGGCGUCCUGGCGCGGCGUCCUGGCGCGGCUGCGCCCUGGGCGCGUCGGGCUCGGUCCCUGGCGGCUGCGCGCAGGAGCAAGGGAAGGCAGGGAGAGAGAGAAGAGGAGUGAGAGAGGAGAGCGCCGACGAGAGGCCGCUGGCCGCGUGCGCCAUGGCCGCCGUCGAGCCAGCCCGCGCCGUGGCCGCCCCGCGCAGGGUAAUCGUGCGCCCGCGCCGGGGCCGCUCGCCGGGGCCGCCCCGCGCAGGGGAACGCGCGCCCGCGCCGGGGCCGCUCGUCGUGGUUGCUGCCGGCGUCGUGGUUGCUGCCGGCGCGGGAGGGUGCUGCGGGGCGGCGGAUCUGAGCGCCGGGGCCGCCGCGCCUGGACGCACCAGCGCUGGACCGCGCCUAGCCGGAGGCCGCGAGCCCGCGUCAGGGCCGCCCCCGGCCGGAGGAGCCGCGCCAUGGUUGCGCCCGAGCCCUCGGACGCCGGGAGGGAAGGGGGGCCAUGGAAGGGCAGGGAGCGUCGGUCUGCGAACUGGGCGCCAUGGGGGUGCUGCUGGAGGAGGAGAGCUCGGCUGGGAGGAAGAAGGCCGCCCCCGGGAGGGAAGGAUGAGCCUCCCGGGGGGCGGCGGCUGGUCCUAGGGCUGGCGGCGGCUGUGGGGUGGGUAGGAGCCGCCGGCGGCUGCAGUGGAAGGUGGGAGCAAACCCUAAACCUAAUCCUCUGAUACCAUGUAGGAAGAUGAACUAUUGUAUUGCAUAGAGAAUGGGUACAAUAUAUAGACUCAACCCUAACCCUAAUGGGCCGGCAGCCCAACAGUGGUGCCGGCCCACACACACUCACACACACAUAGUCUAACAGAAACUUCAAGAUCAAUUAGAAAGAACGACAACAAGACAUAUUGUUGCAUGCGAGCCUCAUGGUAUAUAUAGUGCAGGGGGGCUCAUUGCUAGGAAACACAAGCUUUGUGGGUCACUAUUUUAUGUUGAUAUUUUUUUUAAAAAAAGAAACUUGAGUAAAUUCAGUGAUCUGAUUGUAUUAUGACUACAUCAAUCAUCAACAUGACUGGAUUUUUUUAGUAGGAAAGCUGAACACUUUUUGUACAGAAGUCACAUAAGCUCUGCUAUAUAUAAGAAAGUAAUUAGUCACCAAGGCUUGGUCAUAAUGGGAGCAUGAUUUACUACAAUGGCUCUAUGCUUUACUUAGCUAGAACAUGUUUAUUUGCUUACUGCCCUGUCCCCUGUAUAUUGAGACUAGGGACAUCAUGUUUGCAUUUCUUUUCACUUUUUUUUGUUACUGUUAGAUAUACAUUUUCAUUGAAGAUGGAAGUUACUGAAGUGUCAGCAUCAGACAUGGGGCUUGGAUGCAUUUACAUAUAGCGCUUACAACAUAUGGUUUUGUUCAUGCUAAUUAUGUGAUGAGCUGCUACAAAACUUUGACAUGAUGUAACGAGCACAAUUCUGUGAACCAAUCAAGCUUUCGGCGCAUGGUUUGGUUUUAGUAUGCCUGUGGACACAUUUGAUUCUUCCGAAGUCAUGCUCCCUGUCUCAAGGAUUUUUUUUUGGAAGCAUUAUCAUGGCUUGUUUCGUUGUUUGGCUCUAAAGCUGGAUCCAGUUGAGUUGGAGGGAGACAUGUUGUUAUGUUUUUGGUGUAAUCAUGAUCUACAACUCCCUUUCUGCUGGUAGCCUGCUUCACAGACUUUUGAAGGCCCUUCUGGUGGUGUUCCCCUUUGUACAGGGUGGAAGUUGUUUUCCACCUCAUGCUUUCCUAAGAAAAUGUGCCGAUUAUGCUUUUCUCUUUGUUUUUACUAACUUAGUGAAUUUGCCAUUCGGCCACACGGAAUACUACAAUGGCACGUGUACUCUGAUUCUGAGUUUUUGUUUUAAAUAUAUUUUAUUAUCAUGAAAACUACAAAAAUAUAUACGCUGGUUGAAUUCCAAAAAUAAUAUAUGGACAGUCGUCCGAUAGUGUCUUUCAAAAAUCGUUUUACCAGAGAGUGACUCGUUAUAAUGUAAAACUAUCCCCCCCCCCUCCCCCCUUUCCGCUGUUCCGCAAGUUCAGGACUACAAAAGCACGAGACAAGCACCCGGUUUAGCUUAAUUUUUUAACAAUACUAGGUAUGUAUUCAUACGUUGCCAUGAGAGUUAAAAUUAGUAUAAAACAUACAUACGAAAUAACAAACAUUACUAUAAUAUACAUAAUUUGUCUGACAAAAUCUCACAGUAACACUAAUAUUAUAUUGAUGAUAUAAAUACGUAAUAUUAUUAUAAAUACACCAACUCAAAUAAAAUGAAUUGGUGUCGAACAAAUAUUAUAAUCGCACAAAUUAUUUCUAAAGAAUCAAAAUAUAAUUUUGAAUGAUAGGGCAUCACAAGCGGGCGGCCGCGCGGCGUCUGUAAAAUCUGACCAUAUUGAAUGUUGUUCGGUCUCACAUGUAAAAUCUCACUAUAUUGUACUUAGACAAGCGAAAGGGUCUCUAGCCUAGCGGUUAAGGACUUUCGAGUAGUACCUCAAAGUCCUGGAUUCGAUUCCUAUCGGGAGCGAAUUUUCAGGCUUGGUUAAAAAAAAUCCCCUCGCUGUGCCCUAUCCGCUCUCGGGUUGCGAUGUCUUGUCCGCCACCCUCCGGUUAGACCGUUGCAGAGUGGACAGUUGACGCCAGCCCGUUAGUAACGGGGGCCAGGGUUUGGAGAUUUUCUCGGCCGGGACCAUUGUUUCGGUCUCUUCUUAUAUGGAAUACCGGGAUGGCGGUCCGGCUGAGUUUUUUUUGUACUUAGACAACAAGAGUAAUUAAUUGGGACAACGAUUUGGGUCAGAGUAUUAGGCAUUGAAAAUGAUUUUAUGGGUUGGCUACAUACCUCAAGACUAUAUCGGUUUGAAAAAUGAGUACAAUUGUUUCUUUCAUGAACCACUGACAAUGCUCCAUUAUCUACACACGACAUAGUGGAUGUAGGUUAGCAACUGGAGAGUAAUCAUUUCUUCUAUUCAUCAGGAUUUUCACAAGGUUCAUAGCGCGCGUAGGGAGUAUCAGCACAGAAAUUGUCACCUCAGAAAGAUGAAUGUGCCGUGUUCUCUAGCAUGUUCAACAUUAACAUGGUCAUCUAGGAAGGUUGUCUGCAAUGUGUAGAACUAUGUUGGUGUCUAUUUGCAAGAGACUAAAUUAUCAACAAUCGAUAGGUUCACAGCAGAUGCUCUAGGAGGGCCAAAGCUCAACAAAUUCAGAUUCAAGCCUGCUGAAGGAAAUAGUGGAACCCAGGGAGGCAUCCUUUUGCUUUGGGAUAGUGACGUCUUAGACCUGUCUAAUGUAACUGUUGGGGAGUUCCACUUAUCUGCAAGUGUGACACUUAAGGAUCGCCGAGCUUCCUUCUCCCUAACAGUCGUCUAUGGGCCAACCUGUAGAAGCCGCAAGCCUGCCUUCCUUAGAGAGAUGAACGAUCAGAGACCUCCUUUGUCUUCCCCAUGGCUGAUCCUCGGGGAUUUCAAUUGCACAUACAAAGCUAGUGACAAAAAUAAUUCUAGAAUAAAUCAUCACCUUAUGCAGUUGUUCAGACAAGCUCUCGAUAAUUGCGACCUAAAGGAAAUUCCUCUGCAAAAUAGAAAAUUCACUUGGAGCAAUGAGAGGCGACACCCCACUUUGGUCAGGCUUGAUAGGUUCUUUUGCAACCCAGAGUGGGAGGAGUUUUUCGACAACUAUGGGUUGCACGCUCUUUCAUCUUCAGUCUCUGACCACUGCCCGCUGCUUCUAUCUAAUAAUGCUAGGCCGAGGCGUCCACGCUCCUUCAAAUUUGAGAAAUUUUGGACGGUUUUACUGGGUUUCAAGCAGGUGGUGGAGCACGCUUGGUCGAAGCCGACCCAACAUCAUGAACCUUUCCAUAGACUGUACUAUAAACUCCAGAGCAUAGCCCGGGCGCUCAGGGGAUGGAGCUCCAGGCUUGUUCCUGAUUCUAAGCUGUUCAUGCAUAUGACCAUGGAAGUUCUCCUUAGGCUAAACCUAGCACAAGAAAAUAGGCGGUUGUCGGACUUCGAGUCAAGUCUCCGAAGCAGACUGAAGAUGCGUAUCCUUGGCUAUGUUGUUAUUGAAAGGGCACGGAAAAGGCAUAAUUCCCGUAUGUUAAGCCUUAGAUUUGGUGAUGCCAACACCAAAUUCUUUCACCGAAAAGCUAGCUCCAGGAGGCGAAAAAAAAUUCAUUCAACGACUAAAGGUCGGCAAUGGAUGAGCCCUCUCUCAUGAAGACAAGGCCCAGGAGAUCCAAAACUUCUUCCAGAAUGCGAUGAAACAACCACCGCCUAAGAAUGUUGACCUUAACUGGGAGAUUAUUUCUAAUAGGCAACAUAACCUCUCCAGCUUAGACGCGCCUUUUUCAGAGGUUGAAAUUAAAGCAAGCAUCGAUCUUCUGCCUGCCGAUAAGGCACCGGGACCCGACGGCUUCACCGGCUCUUUCCUCAAAUCUUGUUAGGCCACUAUAAAAUACGAUUUCAUGGCAGCGGUGAAUGCUUUCUACAACCUUCGUUGUUGCAACCUUCAUCUAAUAAAUUCGGCCAGCAUCAUCCUAAUUCCUAAAAAAGAUGGAGCGGAAACAGUCGGGGACUUCAGACCGAUAAGCCUAAUUCAUUCAUUUAUUAAGAUUAUUACCAAAACACUUGCUCUUCGGUUGGCUCUGAGAAUGAAUGAGAUUAUCUCGCCUUUUCAAAGCGCCUUUAUUAAAUCACGGAGCAUCCAUGAGAACUUCCUUGCUGUGAGAAGCACGAUUAGGCGUUUCCAGCGUAACAACUCACCAACUCUAUUCAUCAAGCUGGACAUUGCAAAGGCAUUUGACUCUGUGCGAUGGGACUACUUGAUAUCCUUACUCGACAGCUUAGGUUUUCCUGUGAGGUGGAUUGACUGGAUUGCUACAAUCCUUUAUACUUCAUCCUCAAGAGUAACCAUUAAUGGGGUGUGAAAGGGAAUUAGGCUUACACCUAGUCCCUAAUAAAUUUUGGUGAUUGAAUUGCCCAACACAAAUAAUUGGACUAACUAGUUUGCUCUAGUAUAUAAGUUAUACAGGUGCCAAAGGUUCACACUUAGCCAAUAAAAAGACCAAAUAUUGGGUUCGACAAAAAAGCACAGGGACAACCGAAGGCACCUCUGGUCUGGCGCACCGGACUGUCCGGUGUGCCACCGGACAUGUCCGGUGCACCAGAGUACUCCAACGCAAACUCUUCGCCUUCGGGAAAAUCCAGAGGCAACUCCACUAUAAUUCACCGGACUGUCCGGUGUACACCGGACAGUGUCCGGUGCUCCAAGGAAGUGCGGCCUCAGGAACUCGCCAGCUUCGGGAAAAUGCAACGGCUGCUCCGCUAUAAUUCACCGGACAUGUCCGGUGUACACCGGACUGUCCGGUGUAACUGCGGGGCAACGGCUACAACGGCGCCAACGGCUACCUGCAGCGCAUUUAUUGCGCGCCAGCGCGCGCAGAAGUCAAAAUCGCCCAUACUGGCACACCGGACACUCUACAGUACAUGUCCGGUGCGCCACCGGACAUCCAGGCGGGCCCAGAAGAUAGAGCUCCAACGGUCGAAUCCCAACGGCUUUGGUGACGUGGCUGGCGCACCGGACAUGUCCGGUGUGCACCGGACUGUCCGGUGCACCAUUCGACAGGCAACUUUCACCAACGGCUAGAUUUUGGUUGGUGGUUAUAAAUACCACCCCAACCGGCCACUUUAAGGUGUGGGAGCCCAAGCAACAUUCCAAGUCAUCUAGUUGACAUACUCAAGCCCUCCCAACCACAUAUAUUCAUUGAUCCAUCCUAUACACAAGAUUUAGACCACUACAACCAACACAAGUGCCACAAAAGAGAGAGCAAGCAAAAGAGAGCUACUCAUUUGAGUUUAGCACUAGUGCCUUGUGAGAUUCAUCGAGAGAUAGUGUGUGCUUCAUCUUUGUGUUCAUUUGCGCGUGGAGUUUUGACUCCCAUUGAACUUCCUCCAAAGUUUUGGAGGCUUGUAAAAGCUAGCAAGAGACACCAAAGUGUGUGGUGGUCCUUGCGGGAUCGAGAGUGAUCCUUGAGAAGAAGAAGAGCUCGUCGAUCCUUGUGUGAUCGGGGGAGAGAGGGAAAGGGUUGAAAAAGACCCGUCCUUAAGUGGACUCCUCAACGGGGACUAGGCCUUCGAGGGCCGAACCUCGGUAAAACAAAUCACCCGUGUCCAUUGUGUUUAUUGCUUGUGAUUUGUUUGUUUUCUCGUAUUCUAAGUUUUUCUUGCUCCAUUCUUUGCCAAUAUCAUUUGGUGUUGCUUCAAGUUAAAUUUCGAUUUAGUGAAGCAACACGUUGCAAGAAAGAACUUGUCCUAGUGCUCUUCUCAUCUAAGGCUUCUUGCUUUGUUAUUCUAUAACUUAUUUGAUUCAUCACUCCCUCAUUAUUUAGCAAUAUUCUUUUCAAGCAAAAACUUAGUUUGUAUACUCCUAUAUUUUUAUAUCUUGUUCUAACCACUAAUCAAGGGAUCUAGUUGGGGGAUAAAGUUUUAAUUUUCAGGUUUCGCCUAUUCACCCCCCCUCUAGGCGACUUUCAAUUGGUAUCAGAGCUAUGCACUUCAUCUUGAGUCUAACAACUCGAAGUGAUGACUCGUAAAAGAUCCCAAAAGAACAAGAAGACCCAGGAGACCAAGGAGGUAACUCUUGAGAUAUUACUUUCCGAUUGUUCUAAUUAUGAUUCAUGGUCUACUAGAGUAAUAAAUGCUUUUAGAGCGGUAGAUCCUCAAUUAGAACAAAUUUUAGUCAAGAGUAUUAUUCCUCCUAACUAUGCUAGGGAAAAUGCCUCCGAAGAAGAUUUAAGAUGUAUACGGUUAAAUUAUCUAGCUUAUGACAUCUUAAGUAAAUCCCUUAGCAAAGAAGAUUAUCAUGCCUUCAUAAUAAAAUAUGACAAACCCAUUUGUGAUGUGCAUGAUAUUUGGACUAGAAUUAAAAGCAAAUUUAAUAAGUCCAAACAUGGUAGUUCAUUUUGUGCUUCUACUUCCUUUGGUCUUUGUGAUACUAUCCCUUGCAAGGAAGAAGAAGAAAAUGAUCGAUGGAGACCAAACGAUGAAUCCACCUCUCCAAAAGGUUUGUCUUCCCAUUUCAAUUCCCACAUGUGUUGUGUGGCUAAUACAAAUGAUAGCGGAAGCACAAAUGAGGAUGAGGAGGAAGAAAGAAGCUUUGUGCAACUCUACGCUCGCCUAAGUCAAGAAGAUAAGGCGGUCAUGCUCAAACUUGUAGAAAGAGCGAGAGAGCAAGGCGAAGCUCGUCAAAGGCUAGAAAGUAUUCUCUCCAUGAAGAUGCAACACUUUGACGAGUUGACUAAAGAACAUGAGGAGCUAAAGUGCUCUCAUGUUGAUUUGGUCCAAAGGUAUGAAACUAUUUCAAUUGAGCAAGAUAACGCUUUACAUUGUAUCGCUCAAUUAGUAAAUAGGAAUACCUUGCUUAAGGACCAAGUAGAAAAGCUAAAAAUUGAAAAUCUAGCUUUUCAAGAUAAAUAUGAUAUGCUCCUAUGCUCUCAUGAAAAUCUUAGAGAUGAUCAUAUCAUAUUAAACAUUGCUCACGAGGUUGUGAUAGAAAACUUAAAAUCCCAACAACCUCACUCAUGCACAUGUAUUCAAAUUGAUACUAUAUUACCAUGUGCUAAUGCUUGUUGUCCGUCAACAAGCAUAUCUUCUCUUGAGCUAGAACUUGCAGGAAUAAAAGAUGAUACAUAUCAAAAGCUCAAAGAAGAGAAUGAGAGGCUAAAGAUGAGCUUGACACAACUAAAAGGGAAAUGCAUUGCCCAACCUUCUCAAGAUAACCAUGAUCACAUCGUGAAAAAGCUUGAGACGGGAACAACCGUAGCAUGCACUACAUCCCUUGAAGAAAAUGUCAAGGAUUUGAGGAUUGCCAAGAGGAAGAAACAAAAGAUGAAAUUCAACACCUCCUCCAAAAGCCUCAACCACGCCUCCACAAAAGGUAACAUCCAAGGUAAUGAUCAAGCCACACUUCACAUUAAGAGGUGUAGUGAAUGCUUUGAAGAGGGGCACUUGAUUAGGUCAUGUCCCUACAUUAUAAAUGGCUCGAUUAUUAACAAGGAGGAUAGACUUUGUUUUAAAUGCUCCAAGAAGGGACACUUGCUUAGAUCUUGUCCUCAUUUAAAACAAAAAGGCAUAGGGUUAGAAAAGAAAGUUUUUACUAACCAUGUAGCAAGCAACAAACAAGGAAAGAAGAAAAAUUCAAAACUUGAAAAACGCCUAUGCUACACAUGCCGAAAGAAGGGACAUCAAUGUAAGGAUUGUCCCAUUGGUAACAAUUCCACUCCUAGCUUGUUAAUUAAUUCUCAUGUAACUAGGCAACCCAAAAUUGGAACUUGUGCUAGAAAGGUAAUGAGUUUACCUAGUGCUAACACAAAGGACUUUUGGGUUCCUAGAUCUUUGUUGACUAACCAUGAUGGACCCAUCAAGCGAUGGGUACCAAAAUAUGCUUGACAAGUUUUGCAGGAAAAGGAGAUGAUAUGAAGCCUUGGGGUGCUUGAGAAAGUUGAUUCAAUUUAACUCAAGCUAUCAAAUCUUCAAUGAUCUUUAUCCGUGAUUGACCCAAGGUUAUUCUUCAAAUAACUACAUCUUAAACUCAUAUCAUCUCGAGGAAGGUAUUGAUGUUGUAGGAAAUAAAGAAUUAUCUUAUGCGGAAAAAUCAAGGCCUACAACAUGGAGGAAAGUCAAAGGAUGGUAACCUCUAUGCUUUUAAAGUGCAAGUUUUUAUUAUGUGUCUUGAGUAGUCACAUAGAAAUGUGUAGCGCUUCAAAUGUCUUAAAAUUCAUAUCACCAUUCUUUGAAGAAUUUCCUCUCAUAUGGUAGAUUGCAUACCCAUCAUUUCCAUCCUAUGGCAAUCUACAUGCUUUAAAUUAUUGCAAGUCUCAUGGCAUGUUUUACACUAAUUAUCUUAUUAUUGCCAUGAUUCUAGUUAUAGAGAGAUAUUUCAUGUUCUUAAAAGAAUUAGUUGUCAUAUAAGGAAUUCAAAUCCUUAGGACAUUUCUAAACGGAAAAUUCUCUCUAUAACUAAAAUAGUGAGACUAAUGUUUUCAUCUAAGUAACCCAAGUAGUCUCACUUGUAGAGAAUAAGUUUCUCUUUGGAAGCAUGUAAUCUAACAUAAAAAGAAAAAUCAAUCCAAUUAUUUAUGUUGAUUUGCUCCUUGCCUAUAUUGGAUAUGAUUCUUCCUCAUUCAUCGCUCUCCAUGUUGUGAUUUAGAUUUAUUUCCAUAAUCCUAAAGAACUCACUAUGCUUGUUCCAUUAGUUAAAACUAAGCAUACUUCAAGGAAUGAUCUAGUUCAUAUUAUAAAGUUUCCAUGCUUUAGUAAUUCACUUUUCAUUCCUUAUCAAAAAUGAUUACAAAGAGGGAAACUAGUGCUUGUGUUGCUACUAACAUUUCUCUUGAGUUCAAGUAUGAAAAUCUACAAGAGAGAAAGUGCACAAGCCUCAUGGGUUGAUCUUCACCCAAAGGAAGAAAGGUAAAAGCAAAGGUAUGGGAACUCAUCUUUUUAAUUAAGUUUGGUUCCCAUCUCAAUGGGUAUUUAAUCUAAUUCAUGCCUUUGCUAUAUCCAUUCUCAUAUUGACCUGUUUUAUGUAAUAAUUAAUAAAGUUCAAUAUAAAGAAGUAAAUUCCUAUGAGUGAUCAAAUUGUUAAAUAGUGCAUGUUCCCCUUUUCAAGUAAAAGUGCACUAAUGUUAAGAAUUUUACUUCAUGUCUGUGUGACUUAUGGAUGAUGAAUUAUGCUUAUUUCCUAUCUAAAAGAAAUCAUCCAUCAUUAUAUACUCCCUUGUAUUACUAACAUCCUUCUUGAGUAUUUUCAAUAAGUUUGAAAGGAAAAAGAAGCCACUGCAAAGGGAGGACUCUCAAAUGAAAGAGGAGAACAUCAAGAACAACACCACCUACUUCUACGAAACAAUCAAUGGUGUGGUUGUGAGUAUUCUAAACCCUUUCAUAAUGAGAAUACUAGGCUCAAGUUGUUUAUUACAAAUUUAAUGAGCCUUGAUCAAGAUGUAUAAUGCUUCUCUCUAUUUCUCUUUAAAGUAAAUGCAUCCAUUCAAUUCAUUCAAAUACUUGAUGCAUAUCUUUAGGGGGAGCCUCUUUUUAUAUCUUGAUUAUGUUGAGAAUAUUACUUUAUCUUAGAAAUUUCAUAUAGUCUCUUGCAUGAGAAUGAGUUUCUCAUGAAGUAUUUGCUGGAUUCCCCUAUCCUAAGCUUAAUUGAUAAUCUAAUGCGUAUGUUGUUCUUUUGAUCACAUGUGUUAUUUGUUUGAUCAUUGAAUGACUUUCAUUAGCAACCAUGCCUCUUAGUGCCUCAUAUACAUAUUCUUUCAAUCAAUAUCUCUCUUGAUAUGCACUAAGUUAAAAGGAGAAUUCAUGAUUCUUUUAUACAAUUGGUGAUCCAUUUGAUAUAUGCUUCAAUAACUUGGAAAAGGAUCACUAGUUGUAAAACUCUCUCUUGUGCAAAAUAUUUCCAUAUACUGUCAUUGAGUAUAGGUCUUAAGCAUCUAAAGACUAUGGACAAAGCAUAAUGAAGAGAGCAUCUCUAUGUGAAGGUACAAAAGGGUAAAACUAUCUCCUUUCACUUAAAACUUGUACCUAAAUCUUCCUUUUCUAUACAUUCUUUGCAUAUCUUGUAUAAAAGGAAGAGAAAGCAUGUCCAUGUAUUAUCCCUGCUUCAUACCUAGUUUAAUUUCCCAAAAUUCAUUCCUGCUUUAGUGCAUCUUUGGUAAAACUAGAUGAAGUACUUUUAUUGUCAAAGAGCUUAAAGCUUAACCUUGUAACGAGGAUAAGCUGCCUUUGUUCCAAAGGUGGAUGGUCCUUAAGUCUCUUUGAAAUCCUUAAGGGAAAAUGCUUAAAAUGUUUACAACAUGCUUUCAUAAGUGCAUAAAUUGUCAUGAGCAUCACACUUAUACUAUGACACAAUGCACUUCACAUUCUGUAUGAUAUAGAUAUGUUCUCAUUAACCUAAUUAUGUGCAAUUGGCAUUUAAGGCCAAAAUAUGUGUUCCUCUCCAUGCACAUACUUAGGGGGAGCAAUCUAUGUUAUAUAGAACUAUGAUCAUGCUUAAUUUGAUAUAUCCUUUUGAUCAUAUCUCUUUUAUGUCUAUGACUAAUGUGUUUUCAAGUGUAUUUCAAACCAAGUCAUAAGUAUAUUGAAAGGGAAUUGGAGUCUUCGGCGAAGACAAAGGCUUCCACUCCACUCUACUACUCAUCCUUCGUCGUCGCUCCGCUUCACUCUCCAUCUUUGGUAUAAUCUUCACUCAUAUGUUUUAUUUGCCAAAGGGGAGAAAAUAGUUGUCACGGGCCUAUAUUUCAUUCCAAGUAUCCGUUUUUGGCGAUUCAUGCCAAAGGGGGAGAAAGUAUUGGCCCAAAGCAAAAGGACCGCACCACCACCCUAAUUUUUAAAAUUAAUGAUUUUCAAUUGGUAAAUUUCAAAUUGGUAUCUCUUUGUGUUCUAAAGGGGGAGCAAGUAGUAUUUUCAAAACUUGAUAUCUUAAAACCCUCUUGAACGCUAAGAGGAGAAUUGAUUGAGGGGGAGUUUUGUUUUUAGUCAAAGGAAAAAGCAUUUGAAACAAGGGGAGAAAAUUUUCAAAUCUUAUAAAUGCUUCUCAAAAUCUUAUUCAUUUACCUUUGACCAUUUUGCAAAAGGACUUUAAAAAGAAUUUACAAAAAGAAUUUGCAAAAACAAAACAUGUGGUGCAAGCGUGGUCCAAAAUGUUAAUAAUAAAGAAACAAUCCAUGCAUAUCUAGUAAGUAACAUUUAUUGGCUCAAUUCCAAGCAACCUUUGCACUUACAUUAUGCAAACUAGUUCAAUUAUGCACUUUUAUAUUUGCUUUGGUUUGUGUUGGCAUCAAUCACCAAAAAGGGGGAGAUUGAAAGGGAAUUAGGCUUACACCUAGUCCCUAAUAAAUUUUGGUGAUUGAAUUGCCCAACACAAAUAAUUGGACUAACUAGUUUGCUCUAGUAUAUAAGUUAUACAGGUGCCAAAGGUUCACACUUAGCCAAUAAAAAGACCAAAUAUUGGGUUCGACAAAAGAGCACAGGGACAAUCGAAGGCACCUCUGGUCUGGCGCACCGGACUGUCUGGUGUGCCACCGGACAUGUCCGGUGCACCAGAGGACUCCAGCGCAAACUCUUCGCCUUCAGGAAAAUCCAGAGGCAACUCCACUAUAAUUCACCGGACUGUCCGGUGUACACCGGACAGUGUCCGGUGCUCCAAGGAAGUGCGGCCUCAGGAACUCGCCAGCUUCGGGAAAAUGCAACGGCUGCUCCGCUAUAAUUCACCGGACAUGUCCGGUGUACACCGGACUGUCCGGUGUAACUGCGGGGCAACGGCUACAAUGGCGCCAACGGCUACCUGCAGCGCAUUUAUUGCGCGCCAGCGCGCGCAGAAGUCAGAAUCACCCAUACUGGCGCACCGGACACUCUACAGUACAUGUCCGGUGCGCCACCGGACAUCCAGGCGGGCCCAGAAGACAGAGCUCCAACGGUCGAAUCCCAACGGCUUUGGUGACGUGGCUGGCGCACCGGACAUAUCCGGUGUGCACCGGACUGUCCGGUGCACCAUUCGACAGACAGCUUUCACCAACGGCUAGAUUUUGGUUGGUGGCUAUAAAUACCACCCCAACCGGCCACUUUAAGGUGUGGGAGCCCAAGCAACAUUCCAAGUCAUCUAGUUGACAUAUUCAAGCCCUCCCAACCACAUAUAUUCAUUGAUCCAUCCUAUACACAAGAUUUAGACCACUACAACCAACACAAGUGCCACAAAAGAGAGAGCAAGCAAAAGAGAGCUACUCAUUUGAGUUUAGCACUAGUGCCUUGUGAGAUUCAUCGAGAGAUAGUGUGUGCUUCAUCUUUGUGUUCAUUUGCGCGUGGAGUUUUGACUCCCAUUGAACUUCCUCCAAAGUUUUGGAGGCUUGUAAAAGCUAGCAAGAGACACCAAAGUGUGUGGUGGUCCUUGCGGGAUCGAGAGUGAUCCUUGAGAAGAAGAAGAGCUCGUCGAUCCUUGUGUGAUCGAGGGAGAGAGGGAAAGGGUUGAAAAAGACAUGUCCUUAAGUGGACUCCUCAACGGGGACUAGGCCUUCGAGGGCCAAACCUCGGUAAAACAAAUCACUCGUGUCCAUUGUGUUUAUUGCUUGUGAUUUGUUUGUUUUCUCGUAUUCUAAGUUUUUCUUGCUCCAUUCUUUGCCAAUAUCAUUUGGUGUUGCUUCAAGUUAAAUUUCCAUGUAGUGAAGCAACACGUUGCAAGAAAGAACUUGUCCUAGUGCUCUUCUAAUCUAAGGCUUCUUGCUUUGUUAUUCUAUAACUUAUUUGAUUCAUCACUCCCUCAUUAUUUAGCAAUAUUCUUUUCAAGCAAAAACUUAGUUUGUAUACUCCUAUAUUUGUAUAUCUUGUUCUAACCACUAAUCAAGAGAUCUAGUUGGGGGAUAAAGUUUUAAUUUUCAGGUUUCGCCUAUUCACCCCCCCUCUAGGCGACUUUCAGGGUGCCUAAUCCUCCUAUUCGCCAUGGCAAAGGCCUUAGGCAGGGCGACCCUCUCUCCCCCCUUAUUUUUGUAUUGGCGAUCGACCCGUUGCAAAAAAUCCUGAAGAUUGCUGCUGAGUCUUGAGCUUUGAGCAAGCUGGGGAACCGCUCGCCUAUCCUCAUGAUUUCGUUGUAUGCCGAUGACGUGGCUCUGUUUGUUAAGCCAAAAAAAGAGGAAAUUGAGACAAUUGUCAGUUUGCUGACCUUAUUUGGAGAGGCUUCGGGUCUGAUGACCAAUUUUCGAAAGUCCACAAUUGUGCCCAUUUGUUGCCAAGGACUACCGCUUGACGACAUUCUUGACGGCCUCCCUGCUGGAAGAGCAACCUUCCCGAUCUGAUACUUGGGUCUGCCUCUCACUUCGGCUAGGCUAAGGAAACGAGACCUUCAGUUUUUGGUAGACAAGGUCUUGGGCAAGCUGAGUAGUUGGAAUAUGAGGAAUUUCUCGUUGGCGGGCCGUUUGACUCUUGUUAAAACGGUGAUCACCUCGCAAGCAAUCUACAUGCUAUCCGUCCUUAACGCGCCUAAGGAAAUUAUAAAUCUCCUUGACUCCAAAAGAAGACAGUUCCUUUGGGUGGGUUCAGACAGGCUAACUGGAGGAAAAUGCAAAGUUAAUUGGAAGCGUGUGGCGAGGCCAAAAGCCCUCGGGGGCUUGGGGGUCCUGCAUUUGGGUGCUUUUGCGCGCGCCUUGCGCUUAAGGUGGUUAUGGCAAAUUUGCACAUAUCAUAAUAACGCCUUGGGAAAUUUGGAAACGCCUUGCACUAAUGUUGUUUGUCUGCUUUUUGCGGCAUCAACAAAUAUUAAGAUUGGAGAUGGCUCCAAGAUAUCAUUUUGGGACAGCGCUUGGGCAGGGGGAAGGAGGCCGAAAGACUUGGCACCUAGUCUAUUCUCCAUAUCAAGACAUAAGGGCAAAUCACUGGCAAGGGCGGUUAGGGACAAUGCGUGGAUCGCAGAUCUCGCACUGCUAGGCAGUGUAAUUACGACCCGUCACCUUCAUGAGUUCUUUAUUCUUUGGUCCGAGGUUCAAAAGAUCCAGCUUGACCCAGGGGCUCAGGAUAUCAUCACCUGGAAAUUCACUGCAGACCAUCGCUACUCAGUGAAAUCAGCAUAUUUGGCGCAGUUUUUAGGCUCAGUUCGCACUAACUUAGACCUCAUCAUUUGGAAGAAUUGGGCGCCCCCAAAGUACAAGUUUUUCAGCUGGCUAGCGAUUCAAAAUCGCAUUUGGACUACCGACCGUUUAGCUACCAGAAAUUGGCCCCAUUCCCCGACUUGUGUUCUUUGUCAAGGUGUUCUGGAAUCAGGUCUUCAUCUAUUUGUGGAAUGCCGGUUCACUAAACGGAUUUGGGAGGAGAUUGCUGUUUGGGUUGCCAUUGAGGAUUUGAAGCCGUCUAACUGGGAGCUAUCUCACACGCUGAUGCAUUGGUGGGAGAACUUGGCUAUGAUAUCGGGGUGUAGCAGAAAGGGGCUCAGAUCAUUGCUGAUCCUUAUUAAUUGGAUAAUAUGGCGGGAAAGGAAUGUGAGGACUUUUGAUCGCAGGUUUUCGACUAGUCAGCAGAUCAUAACUCUGAUUAAAUGCGACGCGGCAGCCUGGAUUGCAGCCGGGGCUAGACAAUUAGCUACCCUCUUAUCCUCGUCAACUUAGCUAGGUUGCUUGUUGUGUGUCUUUUUUAGUUGCUAAGGGAUGCUUAGAGAGUAUCUGUUGUGCUUGACAUCGCCUGUGUAUUGACUCUUUUGCCUUAGGGCAUUUCUCUUCUUAUCAAUAUAUAAGGCAGAACUCCUGCCUGCUUGUUUCAAAAAAUAAUAAAAAGGUGAAGCAACAACUAAAAGCAACAAUCAACACCAAUCACAAGACUGCAUUGAUGCUUUCCACAAGAUAUAACAAAAGAAGGCUACAAAAUUCACAUAGCACCAUGACUUCCAAUUCCAGUACAAUAAAGUAGUAAGAAACCAUCAGUAAAAUAACUUCAACAAAUUAUUUUUUUGAAAAAGAACAUCAACAAAUUAUAGAGGAGCAUACUUGUGAAUCCACCACAUUGUACUCCUUCAAGAGCUUGCCUUUCUCCUCAACAGUCAACACUCCUAAAUUGAAGAGAAGAGUUAACUGCCUGUCAGAAAUAGCCAUUCCCAUCUAGUACUAUGAAAGAGGGGAGGGGUCGAAAACUCUGAUUUGUUGCUGUAGAAUCAGAGAUUAAAUUAAAAUGUACCACUAAUAUGUUUGCGAUUGCAUAAUAGAGUCAUUUUAUGUCAAACUAAUGCAUCAAAGAAGAAAGCGCUGAUCAAAUAAAUUUAUCACCACUCCAUUAAGCAUAUCAGAACUUGUUAUUGAAACAAAUUAAGAACAUGCCAAGCUGAGUUGUGACUUGCCUGUAUGGCAGAUUGAUUGGGCCAAGGGAUGGAUCGUCCAGUUCCAAUCAGUUAUCUUAUUACUCGUUAGUCCUGCAAUCAAGUUAUGUUCAGUCUUUUAGAUAAAAUCAUAGAAAAUCAAAUUUAGUAAACUGUAACACCCAAAGUCCUAUUUUGGAGUUAUAAAAGGUUUCAAAAAGAUUUAGGUAUUCGAAAGAUAGAUAAAGUAUAUUGCCAAAAAAAUAAUAACAUUUAAAAAGUUUGGUAAUACAAAAUUUCAUCCAAAAUUUGAAACUAGAGGAUAGUUUGAAACCUCAAAGAAUAAAUAGUGGAAAACAAUUAUCUCCUUCAUGAACUAUAGAUUUAUAAAACAUUCUUUAGAAAUAUUUGAAUUAAGGUAGUCUUUGAUGAAUACUAUACUUUACUUUCUCUUAAAAUAAAUAGGUUAUUUAUAUGAACCUCUAAAACUAGCCGCACCUUUAAAAUAUAUGCUUGAGAGGAAAUAUAUGUGGGUUGCAUUUUCCUAAACAAAUAGAAUAAAUAACUUCAAGCCAUGCUGGAAUUUAUUAACUAUGCAUUCUAAUUGAAUUGAGAAUUCAAACGGUAUUUGAAUUUGAUUUGAAUUAGCAAACAAAAUAGAAAACAGAAAAAAAGAAGAAUAUCCUACCUGGGCCGGCUCCUUGCCUCUCACUGGCCCAGUUCCGCUCCCGCACUACUUGGCCCACUUAAUCCCUUCCGCGCAGCCCAUCUGCGAGCACGGAAACCGUGAUCGCGCGCCCGCCAAGCCGCUCAGGUGGGUGACAUUAGGGCCCCGCUGGCCAGCCUCCCCACCGUGCGCGCUGGGAGCCUCUUGUUCGAGCACUGUGUGACAGGUGGGUCCCUAUUGUCAUCUCUCUUCCCCCGCCGUAGUGAAACAAACAGAAAUCCGCAGGGUCCCAGCUUCCGGCCAAGAAAGAAAAUCCUGGCAACAAACUCCGUAGGGAACACCGGUUCCCUCGGCAGUCGUGGGGUCCUCACGGGUAUAAAGACUAAGACUCCCACAUUCCAGAUGCCGCAGAGAACGACAAAUACGUGCCUAGGCCGCCACGGGUAAUCGGUAGCUGAGAGGAAGAGAAGGGAAAAUCUGAGCAUCGCAUUGACCCUCGUCCAGCCCCGGUGCUCAUAUGGGUAGCGUCGCCGGAACUCGCCAUGUGUCCGCUCAAGCCGUGAAAUUCCCCUGCUGCGCGCCGAAGCGGAGUUCUUGGAAUUGCUUGCCGAUGACUGUCGUCACCGCGGAUCCAGACUCCAACUUGGUCGGCUUGCUUCCCGUCGUCACCAUGGGUGAGUCCCCUGUCCAAUUGAUCACCUUCACCCCCGCGGCGAGUAGUGCCAUUAGGAUCAAAGUUUAGAACCCUUGUGCGGGGGGUGGGUUGCCCGGCUGUGGCGCCGGCGCGCAGGCCGUGGGCGCACCGCGGUCUGAUGGCCGAGAUGAGGAAGAAAAGUGAUGACCGUUCAUUUGGGUUUGGACGGCUUAGAUCAAGACACCUGUGUAGCCUUUCGAUAUUUAAAUCUGAGCCACAGAUCGGCAAACGAUCGGAUCAGGUUUAGAUCACGGCGUGGUCGGUCUUGGAUCGUAGAUCUGAAAUCGAAUGGCCAGGGCUGUGUACCGGUUCGUUAUGGGACCAAUUUAAUCGCAGCCAUCGGAUUCUGAUCCAACGACUCUGAAUGGCCCGUACCCCUUCGCGUGGUAUAUUUUCUAAAGAGACCCUAUAAUUUUAAUAAAUCAACCCGCCAUCCCAUACAGUUAAAGAGGUCGUACAAACAAGUCUUGGUUUUUAUGAAAUCAACCCUUAUCUUUGUGCAAAUGUUGUGCGCGGUCCCGAGAUUUCAGAAUGAAGAAAAAAAUGGAAAAUUGAUUUUGAAUAUAAAAAUAAAUCUAUAAACUUAGAUAAUUCAUAACUUGUGCAUUUUAACUCCGAUUCAACCGUUCAAAUUGCGUUAGCUUCGUAAUAAAGUUAUCUACACACUAGUAACCCUACUUUAUCAUGUAACAUGUUUUUAAAUAAUUAAUUUGGUUACCCUAUGUUCAUCAGAUUAACUUCUCUAAUUAAAAUUUAAGUAAUAUUUUCAGUACCUAGUUAUGAUUUGACUAAAAUGUGUUUUCUAAUAAAGUUAUAACUAGGAUUAAAAUUAAAUUAAUGGUUUCUUAGGAAUAUCUUACAUGAUUCAUAAAAGGGGUAGAAUUUGUAACACCCAAAGUCCUAUUUUAGAGUUAUAAAAGGUUUCAAAAAGAUUUGAGGUAUUCAAAAGAUAGAUAAAGUAUAUUGCCAAAAAAUAAUAACAUUUAAAAAGUUUGGUAAUACAAAAUUUCAUCCAAAAUUUGAAACUAGAGGAUAGUUUGAAACCUCGAAGAAUAAAUAGUGGAAAAGAUUAUCUCCUUCAUGAACUAUAUGUAACACCCUGAAUUUGGGGUAUAAAAUUUUUUCUCUAAAUGCCUACCAAAUUCAGGUGUUACCCUUUGUCUCUCUCUCUCCCUUUUCUUUUGAAUAGGAUUAGGUUAAAUUAGUGAGGGAUUAGUUAAUUACUUUGUCAAAACUACGAGAGUCAUGAAUUGUUGCAUCAUGGUGACCCUAAAUUAUUCUUUGAUUUGAUGCACAUGUUUGAACUAUUUGAAUUUUGGUUUGAAUUUGAAUUGAGUUCACUAGAGAAAAUAAAAAGAAAAGCAUUUAGAAAAUCCCUGGAAAAAGGAAAAGCCACUUUCAGCCCAGUCGGCCCAGUCCAGCCCAGCGGGGCUGCACGCGCCCACGCCGCCUGACAGGUGGGCCCCACCUGUCAGCGGCAGUCCUUACGCCCACAUGCUCUCUCCUUCCCUGUCUCUGCCACCUGGGCCCCGCCUGUCAGCGCCUUUCCUCGCGCACCCGCGUGCCUGCGUGCUCUCUCCUCGGCGGCCCCCUCCUGUUGGCACCUCUUCCCGAUGCCGCGACCGCGCGCCUGUGCCGCUGUUUUGCGGGCCCCGCUUGUCAGCUCUUCCCUCCCUCCUCUAACCUCCGAUCCGCGCGCUCUCCAUGGUCGCGCCCACGUCCGCGCGAUUCUCGGGCACUACCCACGCGCCCGACCCCUACUCAAACCCCCUCCUAUCCGCUCUGCCAUGUCCCCCACUCGCAGACACCCCCGGUUCGCCUUCGCUCGUGCACUGUCUCUUCCCCGAGCUCGGAAUACCGUCACCGUUCACCGUGUCCGCGCGCCCGUUCCGCCACCACCGUUGAGGCCUCGUCGUGCCCUUUGCCUCGGUGAGUCUCGCCUCGAUGUUCGCAACUCGGGACACGCCUCAAUUUACUCUCUCCCCGUCUGGUUCCCUCUGCCCGUGCUCAUCGGUGCUUUCCCCGCGCAGCCGGAGAGCCGCCGCCGUCAACCCAAGCCCUCGUCGUGUCCCUGCCGCCGUUCAAGGGUCCCAGAAUCUCUUCUCAAGGUAACCAACCUUUCCCGCCCCCAAUUUAUCCUUUCUCAAUUAUCGACUGGGCGCGAUUGCUCAUCGAAGUGAAGUUGCGCCACCGCCGAGGCAUCCCGCUGUGGACAGUUGUCCUCCAGCGUCUCUGCGCCGCUGUUGUGCCCAUGAUCGCGUUGCUACAUUCCCCCGAACCUCCUUGAGCCCUUCCCGGUGUCCCGGGGGCCCCGGCGCGCCCGCGCCCUCGUCUCCACUGGCAGCUAGGAGACCUUGCCGAGUUAGCCGUUAGAUGUCGGGCGUCCGUCCAAGAUCGGAUGGCCCGAAUCUAACCAGACCAAACCUAAUCCUGACCGCGUGCCUGAGAUUCGAUCGCUCGGAUCUCCCCCUCACCCGUGCCCCUGCCGCUGGGCCCGGUCUGUUAGCCCUUUCUUAAACCGCUGACACCCCGAGCCCACCUGUCAGCGCUCGCCGCGCGCUCACGCUCGGAUCUGUUCUCGGCCGUUGAUUUGAGAUCUGACGGUUGAGAUGGCUCGAUACCCCUUCGCGCGUAAUUUUGUUUAAGAACCCCCAUGUUUUUAGUAAUCAACCAGCUGUCCUUUAGGUUUUGCGCGCAGGCCCCUGGAUUCUUAUAAACAGACCCCUGACCUUUUUAUUAAUCACAUAGUUGGACCUAAUUUUGUAUUUUAAAUUUCAAAACUUGUUUAUUUCAUAUCUUUUGCAUAUGAACUCCAAAUUGAGUGAUUCAAAUUGCAAAAUGUUCAUAGAAUUAUUAUCUAUUCAAAUAAAUUAGGAUCAUUCAUUGUCUGUGUACUGUAAUUUUAUGCCUAGGCUAUAUGUUAGUUUAUGUGAUGAUUUAUUUGUUUAAUAAGGUAAGUAAAAAGGAAACCCUAGUGGUAAAUAGAUAUUUAAUAUUUUGAGAUUAAUAAUAUGUGAUGUAUGGACUUAUCCCUAGUUUAACUUUUAUGUAUUAUUUAAAUAAGUGGAAUUAGAUUAUGUAAUCAUGGAGAUAGACAACACUUAAAGAAUAACCAACUACUAAACGUGAUUAGUUUACCCUAUAACCUAAACUCCCUUUUGAGUUUAUACUUUUCCUUUUUGAGAUAUGUUCCAUUGUUUCUACAUGAUUGGUGUGUUGUUCAUUUGUCAUUUUCCAAAUAUAUUGAAUGGAUGAUCGCUUUAUUUAGACGACGAGCAGCCCAUGGUUCCUGACUGUGUUGUCGAAGAUCUUCGUGAGCAACAUCCUGGUGAACGCAAGUGUCCUAUGACCUUUUAUGUCCUACUUACUUUAUAAUUCACCAUCCCACAUUACUUUAUUGAAACCUAAGGAUUGACUAGUCUGUAUUUACCUUAUCCUUGUUUACCUUUUUGGGUUAUCAUGGUUAGCCUGUGUUAUUGCUUUAACUUAAUCAACAAACAUGGUGUGAAUAUUUAUGAUACGAUGAUAUUAUCCAGAUGAUGAUCUUGUGAUAUUUUAGGGGGCUCAGGCCAUUUUCCUGAUUACCUCUCCGUAAGGACCCGUUCGUUGAGUGACCACCCGGGAUAACAGUGCAACCAUGAUGGUGGAAUGAGACGCCCUUAGCUGAAUAAUCAGAUGAACCUGGGGGUGUAGUUGGCUUUGCCUGAGGGCCGUCAAUGGGGGCUGGGGCGUAGUGCUCGCUCUGCCAAGGGGGGUGCAGACGUUCAUUCGAUUUGGUUUUGUUAGUCACCCACCUUGGGGAGGUGUACGUUUGUAUGACUGGCGAAACCUAACAAGCAGCUAUGCACCAGGGGAGUCUUUGUAAAGGCUACGUAGUGAAACCUUGCCGAAUCACCUUGGUAGUGUUUGAGGGUUUGAUCGACUCGAGGCAAAAAGGGAUCAAGACUCAUGGGUAAAGUGUGCAACCUCUGCAGAGUGUUAGAAACUGGUAUAUCAGUCGAGCUCACGGUUAAGAGCAGCCUUGGGAUCCUCUUUUAUUAGAAGAACUUUGGAUAAUUUUAUGAUGGUGGUUAAUAAUGAUGGUUAUAAUUAUGAUCUCUGGUAUUUCCUCUUGGAGGGAGUACAUUUGGGUAAUAAUUGGGUUUAUUACUAAAAUUUGGCUGUAUUGUUAGUAAUAAAUACUUGACCAACUAAAAGCAACUGCUUAACCUUAACUCCACAUACAGCUGGUCCACUUUAGCCAAAUGGGACAUUUGCUGAGUACGUUGAUGUGUACUCACCCUUGCUUUAAAAACCACCCCACCCUAGGUUGUCCCCACUGUAUUCAGUGCUCAGAAGGAGAUGCAGCCAACAUGGAGGACUUUGAGGAGUUCCAGGUCUACGAUGAGUUCUAGUUAUGUUAGUGGCAAACCCCCAGUCAGCUGCCUGUGAAGGCCUUAUCUACUACAUUUCGUAUUCCGCACUUUGAUGAUAUUAAAUGACUAUGAUAUGUUAAAGACUCUAUGGAUGUCUUGAACAUCUUGAUGUAAUAAAGUACCCUUUCCGCUAUUUACUUUGAGCAUUGUGUGAUGAUGUCCAAUUAUGUAAUCGUUGUGUACGCGAGUUUCUGAUCCUGGCACGUACAUAGUUCACUUCUGGUUUGCCUUCCAAAACCGGGUGUGACAUAAAAAGGUAUCACAGCCUUGCUGACUGUAGGACUGCUAACCUAGACUAGAAUGGUCGCCCUAUGGACUAUAGACCACUACCCUUACCUUGACCUUUAGUGUCAUUUCAAAAGUUGGUUAUCUUGACCAAUUCUAUGUUAUAUUAUUAUCUAUAUUCUCAUCUUAUAAAUUUUUUAUCUCACUUCGCUUUCUGUUUACUUGCUGGUUUUUAAGUUCUACUCUCACUCUUAUGCUUACGAUGUCUUUUGUAGAUGACCCAUAUUAGAUGCACUGCACGUAAGUCAGUGAUCCCCUUUUUGCUCUCUCGCCUAGCGGAGCGCCCACUGCGCUGUGCGGUGACUGGUCAGUCUAGCCAUCUUGAGAGACUGCAUCGUCGCCUGCACGAGGAGCAGGAGCGCCGACGCCAGGAGCAGGAGCAGCAGGACUCUUCCCCCUCGCCUCAGCAGGAGGUGGAGUCUGGGAGGCAGCCUUCCCCUGCACCUUAGCCAGAGAUGCCUCCUGCACCACCACAGGGCAUCCUGGCUGCUGGAGGAGACCCUCACGGAGAUGACGAUGACGACGCCGGUGGCAGUUCGAGCCACAACACGGAGCUCUCGGAGGAGCAGGAGCCAGAGGGAUGGAUCGCUAGACCCAGCACUCGUGACGCCGCUCGCGGUUGUCACUUCCACGACGCUCUCGACACCUUGCUGCAUCGGCCCUUCGAUCGACACACUUGGUCUAUCGAGUACCGUUGUGUAGUCUACCAGCAUCGUCGCGGGUUAUACCCGAACCAGUGGGAGGCUACUUGCUUGGUGCGUCGUCCGGACGAUGAUCUCCGGGGUGCAGAGGCCUUCUCAGAGCACUAUUUUAUCACUGAGAGCGAUACUGCCGAGGCAGCCAUGCAAGAUGCUGCGCAGCGUGCGCUUUCGCAGUACUCCUCGUUGUUCAGCGGGGUAGCUGACGGACUCGACCUGAAGUACUACCCUCGUCGUUCGACCGAUAGUGCUGGAGGUGUGAUUGUCUCGCCCGUUGGUGAGGGCAAUCCUAGGCUAAACAACAUGGUCAACCUGGUCGCCGUGCUCAACACCGAGUUGACCACGCCCUUGACGAGUUGGGCAAGGUUCAGGCGGAGGUUGCGGAAUUGCGUGCUGAGCGCGCAACGCGCCACUAUCAGGAUGGUGGUUCUCGCGCUCCUGUCGGAAUUCAGCACCGUUACCGCUCGUCGCCCCGUGGUCGCUUUGAUUAUGGCACCCCUGACUGCAGGACCCAGGUAGAUUUGGAGCCAUAUAUCGAUAGAGUCGGAGUCUGUAAUAAUGCUUAAUUCAGUGUCUUAGUUCUAGUCAGUCUUAGUUAGAGUUAGUUUGCUUAUCAUAUGUUCUGAUGCUUGUCGUGAUGAACUCAUAAUGAAGUUGGAUCUUUGUAAUGAUUGUCGUCAAGGUGUGGGCAUCUCCUGCAACUUGGUGUAGUUAUUAAUAAAGUUAGUUAUUUAGUUGGGUAACCCAUCUAUUUCCACUUACCUCUUUAUAUGAGAAGUUGUGUUGGCUGUGUUGAGAGUUAGUGAAGAUGAUCAAUUGUUUAGUGCUAUGAAGAUUUCCAUAUAUCUUUUCUUAUGCUGAAAGACUGCAGAGUCAGAUCUGAUGUGUGUGUACUUUCUAUAGAUGUCUGAGAACAGGCGCAAAUGUGGAAGACGUGCUCAGCAGGAGCAGGAAGCACCCCAGGAGGAGGCAGCUCAGCAGCAGUUGCCACCGCCAACCCCGAUGACCAUUGAGCAGAUAUUCCUGAUGUAAACCCAAGCAGUCCAAGCCAUUGGUCAGACUUUAGCAGCAAUGCAGUAGGUGUAGCAGCAGCAACCCCCACUUCAACCUUAGGUGCAAGUUCAGAUACCACAAGUGCCUAGAGACAAGCGGGAAGAGUUUAUGAGGGGCCAUCCCCUGUCUUUGCCCAUUCUGCAGAUCCCAUGGACGCCGAAGAUUGGCUGCGUACUGUGGAGCGUGAGUUGCACACUACUCAGUGUAACGAUCGUGAGAAGGUUCUGUAUGGUCCCUGACAGCUAAGAGGAGCAGCACAGUCUUGGUGGAAGUCUUACCUCGCCACCCAUGCCGACCCUGAAGCCAUCACCUGGGAGGAGUUCAGGGACAACUUCUAUCGUUACCAUGUGCCUGAAGGACUGAUGAUAGUAAGGAAGGAGGAAUUUCUAGCAUUGAAGCAAGGUCCGCUGUCUAUCAGUCAGUAUAGGGACAAGUUUCUGCAGUUGUCAUUGUUGGGGACUCGUUCUCAAAUGCUAUGAAUUAAGAACAAGGCAACAUAAAAUGUUAAAUGUUAAUACCCUUCGUCCGCUGAAGCAUUAUUCCCUUAAGGAUUUAAUGAACUUCGGACGAAGGUUAAGGACGAUACAAUUACGAAGGUUAAAUCUUUGUAAUUGAACUCUAAUAAAUUAUAUGAAAUAAUGCGAGAUAUGAAGCAUCAAAGACAAAUAAAUUACAAUAUCACUUUCAUAUUAUAUCAACUUAAUGUACUCAAAUAUUAAAUACAUUUAUACCUCUGCCUUGGCAAAGAAUAAUUCCCGAGUGAUGCGAUUGCAAUUACAGGAAUGCGUGAACAGUAAAGGAAUACUGUUCACUAUUUAUAGGCACAAGACACAGCCUGUGAGGAAUUACAAUCAUGCCCCUCAUAAAAGUUUACAACAACGACUCAAACACUUAUGGACUAAAAGGUCAUUCUACUUUUAAGUCGGUUUGCAAUUCCGAAGCUUCAUGAACAGCAACCUUCGGUCAUCACGUGCAAACAGCUUCAGCCGAAACUGUUUCCUCCUGCAGGACCUUCGACGACGAAGCAUGGUCCCAACAGUAGCCCUUCGCGGUGCUAGAUCGUUUUUCGUAACGAGCUUGAUCCGUGAAAAAAGUCUCUUAGGCUUCAGGAAGCCGAAGGUCCGAAAAACACCUUCCCUGAGCUCGUUGUCGAGAAACGAUUCAGUUUCCGAGCGCGUAGCGGUCCCACCCUGCAGGGUUACUAUUUGGUCUCUGCUGUCCACCGCGCAGCGGGUGUAAGCAGUUGUUUGUCUGGUGUAAAAAUCCUGACGAUUCACCUUCUUACCUGCAGCACUAUAUAAACAGACGGGUAGGUGUGAAGUUACCACAGCAUUCAUUGCUAUUGCACUGUUUUGCUGCCAAAAUUUUUAACCAUAGCCGAAGCUUGACUCUCGUAAGCAGACGAAGCUCCAGUUUAAAGCCUACUUCGUCAGAAGAAAAAACUUCGGAAGAAAAAGUUUUUUAGUUCCCAAGAAAUUCAGAAUUAAAUGGCCAGAGUGCGCUCUACCGCUAGAGUUGAGCGUGAGGGAGGCGAAGCCGAAGGAGCGGAGACUGUUCCUAUCUCCGAAGCGAUGCAACGAUCCAGACUGGUGACCUCGGAAGGAAUCCGUACUGCCGAGGCAGAGCAGACUGUUGCCGAGACAGAAGAAGUUGCUGCCGAAGCGGAAGAAGGAAAUAUUGAGGAAGCUGAUUCCGAUGAUGAUUACCAAAUUGCCGUGCCAAGCAAACCCAGCCACUUGGACUUCAGAAAGUCGACUGUCUCCAAGGCUGAUUUCUCCAAGAUGGUGAAAUCGGGUUAUUUCAACGAGAAUGAGAAAAAGCUACUUCGCUUCGGGGGGGAAGAAACUACCCCGAAGCCAGAAAAGGAUGAAAUAGUCAUUUUCAAGAGCUUCCUAAAAGCUGGGUUGAGAUUCCCCUUAAAUAGGAUGAUCUCUGAUGUGCUGCAAAGAUUUGGUAUCUAUUUUCACCAACUGACUCCCAACGCGAUUGUCAGGCUCAGCGUCUAUAUCUGGGCUCUCCGAAGCCAGACGGUGGAGCCAUUUGCCGACAGUUUCUGUCGAGUUCAUGAGUUGCAUUACCAAACUAAGGCCAGAAAAGAUGGAUUGCAUGAAAAUUUUGGCUGCUACAACUUUGCUUAUCGGAAAACCACAAAGUUUCCCGUGAUCAGCUAUCGAAGCAAAUGGCCGGCAGGCUGGAAAUCAAAGUGGUUUUAUGUCAAAGUUGACGAAGACAAAGAGAAGCUAGUUCAGAGCCCUCUUGAGCUAAUCUUCGGAGAAACAAGACCCCGAUGCAAAAUGGCAGUAGAAGGUCCAACUUGGGCUGCACUGGGCGAAUUCAAGAUUAUUGCAGAACAUAUUGGCACUAGAGAUUUAGUGCAGGAAUUCCUGGCCUUCAGGGUUUUUCCGACUAUGAAAGAGUGGACAAUGCCGAAGCUCAAAGGGGAAAAGAAAGAGGGGGAACUCGUCCGACUGCCCUACUAUUAUAAGUUCAAGAAAUAUUUUAAAGUACCCUGCCAAGAAUGACUUGAUACAAUUGAAAUAAUGAGUAAUGAAAUUCUUGAGAAUUACUCUAAAAAAGAGGACCAACUGAUGACAGCGGCCUUCGGCACUCGGCCGAAACGAAGGCUGAACAGGGUGCUUGAUGCCAUAGGAUUUGAAUAUGCUGACUAUGGCCGACUGGGCGAGGAUGCUGGAGGCCCGAAGCGAAAAAGGAUUGCUAGCACUACUGACGAAGAAGUCGUCAAGGCAGCAAAAAAGAAAAAGAAAGAUUCUGAAAAUAUUAGCGCUGAAGAGUUAAAUCCUCAGCCGAAGGUGGCUACGGCAAAAAAGAGAAAAAGUGCAUCCCCAGAGCCAGAAACGUCGGUCCGAGAAGAAGAUACUCCUGCUUCUCCUUCUGCUGUUGAAGUAGAAGAGAUUAUGAAGGUAAUGACUGAACCCUUGCCUAUCAUGCUAAGUCCGCUGGCAUUGGAACUGACGAAGUUUUUUCAGAGGGACAAGGCAGCUUCGGCAGCAAAAAGUCCUGUGAAGCCGAAAAAACGGAGAAUUAUUCAAGUGACGGAUGUGAUCCAUCAGACACCACCACCGACGACGGUGUCACAAAUUGUCUUUGCCGAGACUGCCGAAGCCGAAGACGCCGCAUUCGAAGGCGCCGCAGCCGAAGCUACUGGAGUGGAAACUAUUGAAGCUGAGAUCGGCGAAGCCAAAGCUACCGGGGCCGAAGCCGGGACCACUGAAGAGUCGAACCUGGAAACCACACUUGAGGUUAUUGACAAUAUACUCUUGAAAAUGGCUGAAGAAGAAACUACUGCAGCUGCGGUGAGCAUGGCAACUGGAAAGGGGAAAGAGCAAAUUGACGAAAUUUCGGAAGAAGAUUUUAACUUUCAAGAUUUGCUUGGAGAAGGGUUGACAGACGCUGAGAAAGAGGAGUUGAAAAAAUAUGCCAUAUCUUGCGGCUAUAAAUCAGGGGCUAUGCUAUUUGGUGGGGUGAACGAAGGGAAACUAAGGUGCCUUCGGAACCGCACCGAGGCCAAAAUUGUCAGAACCCUUUCCAAAAGCAUUGGCUUGCCGAAGCUGGAAGCGGACUUGUGUCGUUAUCAACGACACCACAUCGCCGGAAGCUUGCUUUAUGCUAACUUCAAGGUAACAAAUAUUUUUGUUAUUUUAUUACUAUUAUUAUUAACUUUUGGUCGUGUUCUAACGAAGAUCAUUUCGACAGAGCAUAUUAUUAAGCAAGGUUCUGAAGAUGCAACAAGAUCUGGAGGAAGAGAAAAACAAAGCCGUCAUUCAAGAUUUGGCUGAAAAAAUUGAAAAUCACGAAGCCAAUCUGAAAAAGAAAGACUUCGCAAUUCAAGAUCUUGAAAUCAUGGUCAAAGAGCAUGAAGGUGCAUUAGAAAAGAAGGAUUUUGUUAUUCAGACCAUGGAGGGCUCUUUGGCUGAAGUCCAAACUGAAAAUGACAAAUUAAAGAAUAAAUUGCUCCGUCAAUCAGAAAAAUUCGAGCAAGAAAAGAAGUAUUUUGAAGCAAGCCUGAAGGCUGAAGUGGAUAAAUACUCAAAUUUGCAGAAAUCCUUUACAGAACUUCAGGAGAAAUGCUUAAGCUUCGGCAUCCGAUGUGUGCAGCGGCUGAAGGACGUGUUUCACUCUGUCGGAGCUAGCUCUUCAAAAUUUACACCUUCAGCUGAAAACCUGCCAAGAACAUUAGAACAUAUUGAAGGCGAAGUUGAUGCCCUUGACGAAGUUAUUGGUGGGCACGCUGACUUCUGCGCCCUGGUAGCUUCUCGGGGCACAACUGCUGCUUUUUUGAAGGCUGGCUGCACACAUGGAAACAUUGUGAACAGACCAAACUUCAGUUUGUCAGCUUCAGAUUUGUUAGACAUCCCAAGCUUAGCCAGAAGCAUCAGAAAUAGAUUCAUGACCCAGAUCUGGGUAAGUGGCGGGCGGAAAAUGGCAGGCGACGAAGCUCGAAGCCAUCUUAAGCCGGUAAGAAACUUAUGUUUGUUACUUUUACCUUCUCCUUUGAAAUUUGUACCUUUCUUACUGUGUUGUUUUGAUAUAUACAGGAUGACGAAGCUGAAGAUUGACAAUGCUGAAGUUUGACAAAACUGAAGACGAAGCCUUAGCUGAAGCUUAAAAUUGCUUAUAAUGUGCUUUCCUACAAAAAUUCUUGGAGAAACUCUUGUAAUAUAGAUAUGGAAUAACUUAUGUAAAUUUGUACAUACCUUGUAAUAUAUUCUGUCUCCUUUAACCGCAUCCAGUCUGCUUUGCUGUGGACGAAACUUCUCUUUUGAGCCGAAGGCGAAAAACACCUUCCCUUCUUUUCGUACACAACGAAGCAUAGAAAUUUUUUCCUUCGAAUCUUUUCCUUUUUUUUUCUGAAGCACCUAUCUUUUUUGUGUAGCAUGAUGAUGAUUCUAUAUAUGUCUAAAUGGAUGUUUAUGAAUGCAAAUGACAUGAUGAUAUGUUAUGUGCAAAUGAAUAUUAGAACACAUGUUCAAAAAACCAUAAGCACGGCCCCUCGUCCCCUCAAGAAUGAUAAAAAUCUUUUUGCCGUUUACUUUUCGGCUUCACCGUUUACUUUUCGGUGUAUCAGCGUUGACUUUUCGCUGUAAGCCUCCCUUAGGAGCUUCUUCGCCUUUUACUUUCGGCGGAAUCAGCGUUUAUUUUUCGCUGUAAGCCUCCCUUAGGAGCUUCUUCGCCUUUUACUUUCGGCGGAAUCAGCGUUUAUUUGUCGCUGUAAGCUCUGCAUUCCCUUAGGAACGACUUUUGAGCUUCUCCCUGUUUUCUUUUCUUUCUCUUUGCACUCGAGGGUGCGUUCUCAGCUUUUACAUUUACAUUUUUGGGGGAUAUCGCUCUUAUAGAAUUGAAAUAAGGAAAAGAAAAAUUACAUGUUCUGGCCCCAUUAAAAACCUUUCUCCCCUUUGGAAAGGAAAAGGGUGCCACAAAAAAGAAUAUAAAAAAUUACAUCAAACUAAACAUAAUAUCUCCGAAGCUCAUCCGCAUUCCACGAUCUAGGAAUGUCAUUGCCGUCCAAAUCCUUCAACCUGUAGGAACCAGGUCUUGACGAAGAUACUACCAAAAAGGGGCCUUCCCACUUCAGCUGUAAUUUGCCUACUGUUUCAGGGUUAGCUACUCCUCGAAGUACCAAGUGUCCUGGUUCAAUGUUCUUCAACUUGACCUUUCUAUCAUGCCAUUUUAUUGUUUCAGCUUGAUAUUUAUUGAUGUUUUCCACAGCUUGGAGUCUGAUCCCUUCAAUAGCAUCUUUUUCUACGGAGCAAUCAGCUUCGUGUUCGCCCUCUGCCGAAGCUACAGUCCUUAUUGAUCCUGUUUUAGCCUCUACAGGGGUUAUUGCUUCGUCACCAAACAAUAGUUUAAAGAGUGUAAAGCCUGUUGAUCUUGAGAUGGUUGUGUUAUGACUCCACACCACUUUGAUUAACUCGUCUGGCCACUUUCUCCUCGGCUGAUUGAAGAUUGACUUCAUUAUUCCUGUCAUUAUGAUCCCAUUGGCUCUUUCAACAAGUCCAUUUGAUUCUGGGUGUCGGACUAAUGCAAAAUGGAUCUUCGUGUCGAUUUGAUUACAAAAUUCUCUGAAGGCUUCAGAAUCAAACUGUGUCCCGUUAUCCACAGUGAUAGCCUUCGGCACUCCGAAGCGACAAACAAUGUUUUGCCAGAAAAACUUUUGAAUAGUAAACGAAGUUAUUGUGGCUAAGGGCUUCGCCUCAAUCCAUUUGGAAAAAUAUUCCACUGCCACCACCACGUAUCUUAAGUUCCCCUGUGCUGGUGGUAAUGGACCUAGCAAAUCCAGACCCCACCUUUGCAACGGCCAAGUGGGUUGUAUUAACUGAGUUAAAGACGAAGGUUGUUUUUGAUCUCUUGCACAUUUCUGACAACCUUCGCACUUUUGAACUAAAUCCGCUGCAUCCGAAGCUGCCUUUGGCCAAUAAAAUCCUUGGCGAAAAACCUUUCCAAGCAAAGGCCUAGGUCCAAUGUGAGAUCCACACAGACCUGCAUGUAUGUCCUUCAUUAAUUCUAUACCUUCGGAUCUGGAUAAGCAUUUGAGCAAUGGGGAACAGACCCCACGCUUAUAUAGCUCCCCUUCUAUUAUGACAUAUGGUCGAGCUCUUGCUUCUAUUCUCCUGUUAUAAGCUUCGUCGUCUGAAAGAAAAUUACCCUGAAGGAAAGAGAUAAUUUCAGUUCUCCAAUCUUCACUAUAAACAGGGGAUAUGUUGAGGAUUGCUCUUUCAAGAAGCUCGACCGAAGGUGCUUUUAUUGUUUCAAAAAAUACUUCCGAAGGUAUGGGCAGCCCCUGGGCUGCUGACUUAGCCAAUAAAUCAGCGUAUUCAUUUUCUCCACGAGGAAUAUUUUUGACAGAGAAACCUUCGAAGGAAGCCUCAAUCCUUCGGACUAUAUCUAGAUACCUUUCAAGCUUCGGGUCUCUUGCUUUGUAACUUUUGUCAAUAUGACCAGAAAUAACUUGAGAAUCAGUUUUAAGAAUGGCCCUUCUGAUUCCCAUUGCCUUUAGUUUCCGAAGACCCAAAAGCAGAGCUUCAUACUCGGCGAUGUUAUUUGUGCAACUAAAAUCAAGUCUUGCCGCAUAACAAGUUUUAACUUUGGAAGGUGAAACCAACACAGCAGUCGCUCCUGCUCCGAAGGUUCCCCAAGACCCAUCGCAAAACACUGUCCAUGCUUCGGCGUCUUUAUUUGUUUCUUCCUCCUGAGCCCCUGGCGUCCAAUCAGCAAUGAAGUCUGCUAACGCCUGGGACUGAAUCGAAGAUCUAUGAACAUAAUCAAUACAAAAUUCAUUGAGCUCUGCAGCCCAUUUUCCAAUCCUUCCAGUAGCUUCUCGGUUCCUCAUAAUAUCCUUCAGAGGUUGUGAAGAAGGAACAAUUAUGUUGUAAGCUUGAAAAUAGUGCCGAAGCUUUCUAGAGGCCAUCAAGACAGCAUACAGUACCUUCUCCAACUCUGUAUAAUUUUUCUUUGAUAAACUAAGAACCUCGGAUACAAAAUAUAUUGGGGCCUGCCUCUUAACUUGGCCUUCAAGCUUCUCCUGAACAAGUGCUGCACUUACCGCUGAGUGCGAAGCUGCCACAUAUAAUAACAAAGGAGCCCCUGGCGUAGGUGGAGUUAAUGUUGUUAGAUCUAUCAAAUACUGCUUCAGUUCUUCGAAGGCCUUCUGCUGGAGUGGUCCCCAUUGAAAGACUUCAGUUGUCUUCAGCACUUCGAAGAAUGGUAAGUUUCUCUCUGCUGAUCUAGAUAUGAAUCUGUUGAGAGAUGCCAGCCUUCCUGUCAAUCUUUGAGCCCCCUUUUUUGUACUUGGUGGCUCCAUUCGAAGUAUAGCUUCGAUCUUACUUGGGUUGGCCUCAAUUCCCUUUGUUGAAACUAAGCAACCGAGAAAUUUCCCCUUCUUUACUCCGAAGACACACUUUUCUGGAUUCAGCUUUAGACCAGCCUGUCUAAAAUUAGCGAAGGUCUCCUGUAAAUCAGCAAUGUGGUUAUCCUGCUUCGUGCUUUUUACAAUGAUAUCAUCAACAUAAGUUAGUACAUUCCUGCCUAUCUGAGAAUGGAGAACCUUUGCUGUCAUCCUGCUGAAACUUCCUCCAGCAUUUUUAAGCCCCUCAGGCAUCCGAAGGUAGCAAUAUGUCCCACUAGGGGUUAUGAAGCUGGUUUUUGGUUCAUCUUCCUUCUUCAUCCAUAUUUGAUGAUAGCCUGAAUAGCAAUCCAGCAAACUCAUGAGCUCUGAUGAAGCUGCUGCAUCAACUAAGGAAUCUAUCCUUGGCAAUGGAAACUCGUCCUUCGGACAGGCUUUAUUAAGGUCAGUAAAAUCGAUACACAUUCUCCAUUUACCAUUGGCCUUCUUCACCAUAACAGUGUUAGCCAACCAUUCUGGAUAUUUUACCUCUCUAAUAACUCCGGCACUGAGGAGUCUUUUAACUUCAUUCCGAGCACCUUCGGCCUUGUCAUCAGACAUCUUCCGAAGCCUCUGCUUCCUGGGUCUGAAGGAUGGAUCAACAUUGAGCGAGUGCUCAAUAACAUCCCUGUUAACUCCGCAAAGAUCAUUAGCUGACCAAGCAAAAACAUCUUUAUUGUUGAACAAAAACCUUAUCAAGGUUUUCUCCUGCUCUUCGGACAAUUGAGAUCCCAAUAGCACCUUCUGCUCUGCUAUAUCCUCACAUAAGAGCAUGGGUUUCGGCUGGUCGGCCGAAGCAGCUUUUCCCUUCUGGACUUGUAUUGCUCACAAGCUUCAGUUCCAUCUAUAUUAUGGAUUGCUUUUGAGUCUGUCCAAUUUCCUUCGGCCCUUCUGGCGGCUUCUUGACUUCCAUGAAUAACAAUGGGCCCUUGGUCCGAAGGUAUCUUCAUGCAAAGAUAAGCUGGAUGCAGAAUUGUUUCGAAGGCAUUAAGAGUACCACGACCAAUGAUUGCAUUAUAAGGGUAUUCCAUGUCAACGAUAUCAAACAUAACUUGUUCAGUCCUUGUGUUGUUGAUGAAUCCGAAGGCCACUGACAUUGAGAUUUUACCGAGUGCUACAAUUUGCCUUCCUCCGAAGCCACAGAGGGGAUGUGUGGCAUCAAGAAUUUUAUCUUCGGGCUCUUGCAUCUGUCUGAAGGCCUUAGCAAAUAUGAUAUCAGCUGCACUGCCUGUAUCAACCAAAACAUUGUGGACCAGAAAUCCUUUGAUAACACAAGAGAUAACCAUAGCAUCAUUGUGUGGGUAAUCCUUGAGUUGAAGAUCUUCUUGGGAGAAGGUAACAGGAAUGUGAGACCAUCUUGACUUGAUGAAGGGUCCUUGCACCCCGACAUGCUGUACCCUUCUCUGUGCUUCCUUCUUCUGCUUCUUGUUAGCUGGUUCUGAACAUGAACCGUCUGUUAUCGGGAGUACCAGCUUCGGAACCGAAGCAGCUUUAGCUUGAAUAUUGAACGAAGCCAUCAGCUCAGGAAAGUGGUAGUGAGUUCACCGGAGGUGGGCGCCAAUGUUGGGGACUCGUUCUCAAAUGCUAUGAAUUAAGAACAAGGCAACAUAAAAUGUUAAAUGUUAAUACCCUUCGUCCGCUGAAGCAUUAUUCCCUUAAGGAUUUAAUGAACUUCAGACGAAGGUUAAGGACGAUACAAUUACGAAGGUUAAAUCUUUGUAAUUGAACUCUAAUAAAUUAUAUGAAAUAAUGCGAGAUAUGAAGCAUCAAAGACAAAUAAAUUACAAUAUCACUUUCAUAUUAUAUCAACUUAAUGUACUCAAAUAUUAAAUACAUUUAUACCUCUGCCUUGGCAAAGAAUAAUUCCCGAGUGAUGCGAUUGCAAUUACAGGAAUGCGUGAACAGUAAAGGAAUACUGUUCACUAUUUAUAGGCACAAGACACAGCCUGUGAGGAAUUACAAUCAUGCCCCUCAUAAAAGUUUACAACAACGACUCAAACACUUAUGGACUAAAAGGUCAUUCUACUUUUAAGUCGGUUUGCAAUUCCGAAGCUUCAUGAACAGCAACCUUCGGUCAUCACAUGCAGACAGCUUCAGCCGAAACUGUUUCCUCCUACAGGACCUUCGGCGACGAAGCAUGGUCCCAACAGUCAUGUUAUGUGCCAGAAGAUGUCAAUACGGAUGCUAAGAGGCAGUACCAUUUUCUGAGAGGUUUGGUUGAUCCCCUUCACUAUCAGCUGAUGAACCACAAUUUCCCUACUUUCCAGCAUUUGAUCGAUAGAGCCAUAAUGACUGAAAGAAAGCGCCGGAAGAUGGAUGUCAGGAAACGCAAGAUUGGUGGAUCUCAGGCUGGGAGUAGCAGCCGUCCUCGCUACUCAGUCUACCCAUCUCAACAGUUCAAGCAAGGUCACCAGCAUCAGCAACAACAGUACCAAAGACAGUUCCCUCAGCUGCAGCAGUACCGUCAAAACAACCCAUAAGGAGGAAAUCUGUACCAGCACCAGAACAACUAGGCACCUUGCCUUCCUAUCCCAGCAACCCACCAGAACAACCAAGCAGCUCCAGUGCAAGGAGGAGGCCGCACAUGUUUCCAUUGUGGGGAACAAGGCCACUGGGCAAAUCAUUGCCCAAAGAAGGCAGCUCAGCGACAACCAGCUCCCAAUGUCCGUGCCAAGCAGAAUGCAUCGUAACAAGCAGGCAACAACCGUGGGUAGCCACAUGCCCAGUAUGGAAAGGUGAACCACCUGGAGGACGACACAGUCCAGGAGACCCUAGGAGUGGCACUAGGUACGUUCUCAAUCGAGUACCAUUCUGCAAAUGUGUUAUUUGAUACUGGAGCAACACAUUCUUUUGUGAUUGCAUCAUGGGUAGAAUCACACAAUAUACUAGUAGCACCCAUGUAUCCACCUAUGAGGGUUAGCUCAAUUGGUGGGAGAACCCAAACAGAUAGAUUUUGCCACAGUGCAAGAGUUCAAAUAGGGGGGGAAAGUUCCCCGCUGAUCUAAUAGUAAUGAGUACCCGAGAUGUAACCAUAGAUGUCAUCCUAGGGAUGAAUUGACUAACCAAAUAUCAAGCAUUUCUUAGCUGUGACAAGAGGAUGGUGAAGUUAGUAUCCUUGUCAGGAAAGGAAGUGUUAGUAGAAUUUGAUCUGCAUUCUCUUUUUCAUCCUUAGGAAAAUAUGGAUUUGUUAGAAGAACCUUUCUCCAGUGAAGAAAUUGAUUCAAUCAUCAAGGGUAUCCCAUCCAAUAAAUCUCUGAGUCCUAAUGGGUUUAAUACGGAUUUUAUUAAAAAAAUGUUGAACCAUCAUUGCGGCGGACUUUUAUGGCCUUUGCAAAAGAUUUCAUGAAGGUACAAUAUGCAUGCAAAUUAUCAAUGGAUCUUUCAUAACACUCUUACCAAAAAGGAUACUGCAAUGCGGGUUGGAGAUUAUAGGCUAGUCUCCUUAUUGAAUUCAAGCGUAAAACUAUUAACCAAGCUUCUAGCAAAUCGGUUACAGAAUGUUAUUACCAAGCUUGUCCAUAAGAACCAAUACAUGUUCAUUAAAGAAAGAACCAUUCAGGACUAUUUAGCUUGGUCUUUUGAGUACCUAUUCCUUUGCAAUCAAUCUAAAAGAGAAAUAGUAUUUUUGAAUCUUGACUUUGAAAAGGAUUUUGAUAAAGUUGAACAUGGAGCCAUUAUUGACAUCCUGCAACACAAAGGUUUUGGGUCUGAAUGGGUACAUUGGGUCAAGAUGAUCAUGAGCUCAGGAACAUCAUCUGUUCUUCUUAAUGGUGUCCCGGGCAAAGCAUUUUAUUGCAAGAGAGGAGUGGGGCAAGGUGAUCCUUUAUCACCACUGUUUUUUGUGAUGGCAGCAGAUCUCCUCCAAACAAUUGUGAAUAGUGCAAAAGACAUGGGAUUGUUGCGACUGCCACUCGAACGAUGUGGGCAAGAUUUCCCCAUCAUACAAUGUGCAGAUGACAAUAUAAUGGUUAUGGAUGCCUGCCCUAAACAACUCUUUUUUAAAAGCAGUGUCUCUUUUGCAGAAUCCACGAGUCUUAGAGUCAACUACCAUAAAUGAAGCAUGUACCCAAUCAAUGUUUCUGAUCAGAGAAUGGGAAUCCUAGUGAAUACUUUUAAGUGCCAAGUAGGGAGCAUGCCCUUCACAUAUCUAGGCAUACCUAUGGGAUUAACUAAGCCUAAAUUGGAAGCAUUCUUACCUUUGCUAUAGAGAAUUGAACGAAGGAUGUCAUCAAUCUCUCAUUUUUUAUCUCAAGCGGGCAGACUUCAGAUGGUGAAUGCGGGUUUUCUUCGCUACCCACAUAUUACAUGUGCAUCCUCAAACUUUCUAGUUCGAAGCCGCCUCUGGCAGCCUAGGGAUUGACAUGUAAACCUAAAAAAUGUGGUGGCCUAGGAGUUCUCAGGCUACCAAAUCAGAACAAAGCACUUCUCAUGAAAAAUCUUCAUAAAUUCUUCAAACAAAAAGGUUGGUUCUUUUUGGUGGAGAGAUAUUCUCAAGCAACUACGAUUAUACAAAGAAAUCACACAAGUAUGCAUUGGAGAUGGGAGAUCCAUUCAGCUUUGGCAUGAUCGAUUGAACGGUACACUCAGUUGCAUAUCUAGAACUGUUGUCAUACAUAAUCAAUAAGGAUAUCACCUUGGGCUAAGCUAAGACAAAGGACCAACUAGAAGAAAUGUUUCAUAUACCCAUGUCCCUGGAAGCAUUCCAACAAUACUAACUGCUCAUGACAUCACUUCAAGAACAGAAGACAAUGAUUAAUAUGUCAAAUGGACAUAUAUCUAGGGGGUUCGGGAAUAUUCAUCACAAAAACAUAUAAGCAUAUGGCAGGGGGAAUCUGUUCAUCUGGUAUAUAGAUGGAUAUGGAAAUCAAAAUGUCAGCCCAAACAUAAAGUGUUCUUUUGGUUGCUUUUAAUUGACAAACAGAAUACCAAAGCACUGCUCAGAAAAAGGAACAUGCCCAUUGUCGGAGAGGGAAUUCUCCGGCCGGGUGGCGGAAUGCACCCGCCCUAAAUCCUAAGAUGAGGAAGGGGCUUAAGCGUUUUGCCUAUCUUGCUAAGCGAUCACCAAGCACAUGAACACACGAGGAUUUAGAGUGGUUUGGGCCGCCGGAGCGUAAUACCCUACUCCACUGUGUGUUGGAUUGCUGUGGAAGCUUGAGCGUUGAGGGUCUGUCCGCCCCCGUUUGGUCUAAGAGAGCAUGUGUUGUAACGUAGCAUGCCUCCCCUUUUAUAGCUAAGGGGGGCAUGCACAAGGAUACUGGGCCCCGACAUAUGGGCCCAGGAACAUAACAGAUGUAGUACUUGGAGCUACUAAUGUUCGCUGCUGGAGCAAUCUUCUUGCGCCCUGACACCCGAGAUCUGCGUAGUAUCGGCGUGUAGGGGAAGCUUCUCGUAUAAGUGAUGAUGGACACAGUGCACCGCGCAGCACGGGCGCACUGUUUAACACUGGACUGGACAGGCGUGCCGUCUGCAGGAUGGCCCUGGCGCCACCUGCCAGCGGAGUGGACAGAACGCAUUAAAUGCUGAGGGGGCACAUCGCCUGUCAGCAGGGUGGACAUGCGGCAUGUCCUCUCCACAAUAAAUGCAGAGACCGCGCGGCCUAGAGGCCUUACGUCAGGCUCUGCCCGUUGGCUUAUGUCACGGGCAACAAGCCAUGUGGCAGCAGCGGGUCUCCGCCUGAGCGGGGAGCGCAAGCGCACAGGAUAAAGCCUAACACGUGUCAGUACCGGACCCUUGCUUAUACCAGGGUAUCCCCUGCCCCGGGACCUUGCUGUGGCCCGGACCUUACUCGGAGGGAUCUGGACCCCAUCCAAGGGACCCGGCACGCUUACUUAGGAGUCCCGGACCGUAAUCGGGGGUCCGGGUUGUGCGUACAGGGUCCGGUGCUUUCUUGCGGAGGUCCGGUCCAACUGAUACAUCCUAGGAUGUAUCGUCCUUUCUCGCCACGUGGUGCCACUUGAGUCGUCCACACGGUGGGGCCGGGUGCUGUUCACCGUGCGGCUAGAGACGCCGUACGAGCACCGUGUCUUCAUACUGUAGUAAGAGGUACCCCUGAUUCAGAGUACCGAUGGUGAAUUCUUACACUUGCGAAAACUGCAUUCUACAUAGAAGAAACCACCUCUCAUCUUUUCUUGAAGUGUAGCUUUGCUCGAAGAUGUUGGUAGUUGCUUCAAAUUACAGCUCCAAUCACCUCAAAUAUGUCACUAGCGAUACAACGCAUUCGCCUUCAGCUGAUGAAGCCAUGGAGAAUGGAGACCAUUAUAUAUAACCAUGUCCUAGUGCAUCUGGAAAUGUAUGAACAGUUUGGUCUUCGAAAACUUCCCUCCAACAAUCAUGGCUGGCAGGGCCAUGUUUAUAAAGGAAUUAACACUCACCAGCUACAGAUUGAAGCCUGCAAUAACAGAACACAUAAAACUGUGGCUGCAACACUUGUAAAAAGUCCUUGUAAUAAUGUAAAGACAGUUUACUGUUUCAUCAAUAUAUAACUGGAGGGCAAACCCUACAGUAAUUUAUUCAAAAAAUCUUUGUACAAGAACAGUCGAACCGUUUUAUACUUCACGCUGCUAGCCUCGUAGCGCAUGCAUAUUUGUGACAUCUUUGCGAGAACUGAUACGAAUAUAUGAAGUAAUAGAAACUACACCUACACGCCGGCAUGCCGGCAGAUCAUGCGCCGCACUCUCGAGUACCGACACGUGGUAUAGACCAGGACCACCAGCAUCUUUGAAACACUUUAGUCAUUGCUUGAGACGACAUCUAAGGUGCCUAGGGUUUUCUUUUUUUUUCCAUGUUUUGUUUUGGUCCCAACCAGCUUGGUUAAUUACUAGAUCCAUUUGACUACUUUAAGAACAAUUUUUCCUUUGUUUUAGAACUCUACAUUGCAACAUUGUAUGUAAAACGAUAACCACAUGAAACGUCCAUCAAUAAAUUAUAUUUCCACCGUCUGAAAUUAUAAGACAUUCUAAAUUUCUUCAAGAGUUAAACCAUUUGACCAAUUAGAAGUAGAACUACAAAUACCCUGUGACACCAAUAUAUAUACUAUAAAAUAUAAAUAGUGAAGAAUCUAGAAAUACUUAUUUAUAUCCUUAUUAUAUAAAUUUGGUUAAUCUUGAGAUACAUAGAUUCUAAUAAAAAUCAAAAUAAUUUAUAAUUUAGGACAGAGAGAUACAGUCCUCCUCACUCCAUAUUUCGUGCCGAAAACCUACUUUGCAUUGUCAGGGAUUGAUUGCUUGUGUAAGUUUGUUCAUUUGAAGCAUAGUGUGUCCACUUUAAUUAUCUGUUCAAAAACACUAAUUUUGCAGUGUGAAAUGAGUACGUGUCGUUCAAGAUUGUAGGGCUGGACCACGGAUGGAAUGCACGCGCGCACAUGCAUGAACCACGGCACGCGCGCGCGUGAUUGCAUGUGAUGUGUGUGCGCCCCUCCGAUGGCUUUGGCGUACGCAUUAGGGCCGUAUGUGGAUCUGGCAAGAGUACGCACACCCAUAUCGGCCGGUGUGCCACGGAGCUUGCGGGAUCCUCUAGCUGGUCACCUGCAGUCCUGCACUGCAUAGAAAUAUUUUCUAUCACGGAGGCGCUAGCUGCUAACAAAAAAAAAAA
RNAcentral lists this long non-coding RNA (49127 nucleotides) under Zea mays. RNAcentral describes it as "long non-coding RNA (ZMAY_LNC001975)". Lineage: Eukaryota; Viridiplantae; Streptophyta; Magnoliopsida; Poales; Poaceae. The record is from RNAcentral.